AUAGAAAGAUAAAACUUGAAAGGUUAUAUAUAGAAAGUUCAUAAAGUCGUAAAAGAUGAAUAUAUAAAAAUGCGUCAAAAGUACAUGAUGAAGAUAGGGUGAACAGAAGUUGGGUUAAGUGAAUUUUUGACAACGGAAACCAAAAUAAUAAAAUAAAAAAAAAAAGAAAAAAGCUAUGGAAAACUUGCGUGUCCCCAAAGCUAUGGUUUGUAGUCUGAUGCAGAGCUGCUGAGAUAAGGAUCAUCAAAUCGAAUAUCUUCCUCCAUACUGCCUUCUUCUCUGACUAUAUGGAUUCCAAUUGCUUUAAUGACUGAGCUCUCUAACUCUAACACACCUUCUUCUCUCUCUUCUUCUUCAUCGUCUAACACACCUUCUUCACUCUCUUCUUCUUCAUCGUCUAACACACCUUCUUCACUCUCUUCUUCUUCAUCGUCUAACACACUUUGAUAUGUAACCUCCACAUGGUUCCAUUCCUUUUCCCAAGCCACUUCUUCAAACUGAUUAUUAUUUUUGAAAGCAUACGCUUGGAGAUCAAAGAUAUGUGUAUGAUCCAAUCCCAACAUACUUUCUGUAUCGUCCGUCUCAUGGGACUCAAAUUCUUGAAAUUUUCCAUUGAUGAACACCUCUGGAUACCGGAUAAAAGACCCAGUAGACGGUGCAAUAUGAAGACAAAGAAGUUUGGCUGGAAAUUUAUUACGAAACCAGAAAGAAAUUGAAUGUCCACUGCUUUGCUGAUCGAACCACUCUGGUAUACUUGUUCCUGGAAAUACAAACUCGAUUCCUCCAGCCUCAUGCAGUUCCUGUUAGUCAUAUAAUUCAUACAGAAUUCAUAAGUUUAACAACAAUAAGUGCACUAUACAUCAUCAAAUCAUAUACAUUAUAAAAAAGACAAUACCUGAUUUAAAAGCAUGCUUUUACUCGAGGAAGUCAAGGAUGCACAGUUUCUUGCAUCGAAAUGCUUUAAGUUUGGUGGAAGCCCUCUAAUUUCCUGAAGAUGCUUGCAAUCAUGCACCACAAGAGUUGUUAAAAAUUGCAGUUCUUUGAAGAAUUCAGGAAGGAUUGUGAAAUUAUUCCCCGGUAGAUUUAAAUAUCCUACAUGAGCAAACCUCUUGGAACCUAUAAAAAAAAAAUCAUCACAUAGAUUGCAGUCCGUGGCCUCAAAAGAUAGUAUUGAGCCCACUACUUUUUCUUCACCUUCUUCCGAUUCUACCCAUUGCCACCUGUUGCAACUAUCCGUUAUACAGAAUUCACACAGUUUGGGCAUCGUGGCUAAGCUACAUCGUAACUGAACAAUUCCACAACUAUCCAGCCAUAAAAACAGGAGUCCAAUAAGAUUUUGAAAUGAAAAUGGCAAUUCUUUUAUGGGAAGGUCAUGCAAAGCAAGUACCGUUAUGUUUUUCAUCUCUCCUAAUAUUUCUGGAAAAUACUCAAGACUCGAACACCCACCAAGGUUAAGUGUUUCAAGAGAGGUCAAGUUGAGAGGCGGAAAACUCGUAAGCUUCCUGCAACCAUAAGCACUCAAUGUUUUAAGUUUAUUCAGAAAACCAAUUGAGUCAUCAACUGCAACUAAACUCUCACACCAAUUAAAUGAAAGUUCCUUCAAAUUUGGGAGAUCAGAUACAUCAGGUAUCUUUGUUAAAAAUUCGCACCGGUCAAAAUUUAAAACUGUUAGAUGCCCGAGCUUCUGCAAAGACAAAAAAAAAAAGAAAGAAAGAAGAACCAUAUGAAUAAAUUUAAAGUGAAUUUAUGAAUUCACGGGAUAAGGAAAAUAUACUCUUUAAACUUGCCUUGGAUGAGCCAUGGAACUCAAAUGACGUAAUGGAGCUGUCAGGUAACUUGCAUAUAACAAGGUUGAUAGGAUCAAAGUUAGAUGGUAAACAAUUUGAAGGAUAUCUGUGCCAUUCCAGUACUCUUAAACCUUCUGGAAAAUAAUUGGGACCUUUGGAAAAUUUGCAAUUUCUAAUAAUAAGUAUUUUAAGGUUUUUCAUCUUCAUGAAGGCGUUUUCAUUCCAUUCCACUGUUUCUUCUUUGUCAGAUAUGGAGAAAUCCAGACAUAUGAUUUCAAUUUUACUAGUCCCCUGUUAAUGCAAAAAGGCACGAAUCAACCACAAUACAACUUGUAUGAAAUAUCAAUUGACUCACUUAGAGAAAUUUACAAAUUAUCAAGAAAAAGUUAACUAUGAUGUAAAUAUGAGAUAGGCAAAAAAAAUUUCAACUAUUCAUGAGCUCACUCACCGUGUUGUCUUUUAAAACUUGAAUGAUAUCUUUUGGUAACAAUAAUCUCUUGCACUUCCCUGGCUCUUCUGGUGAUCUCUGCCGCUCAAUUUCUCUACCCAUGUCCUGGAUCAUGUCGUGCAUUUCAACAGUAUCACAGCAGCUAACCUUUACGAGAGAUUUUUCAACCAACACCCCAAUAUGAUGCUUCGUGCAGUUACCAUAAAGGUCACGGAGUAUAUUAUCAACCUCUGUCCAUUCAUACCCUUUGAAGCAACAAGCAAUGUCAAGAAAAACAUUCUUUUGUUCUUCCCCCAAAGCAUCAAAGCUUACUUUUAGAAUCUCUUGGAUUUCAUCACUGGGAAUUCUUUUAUAAUGUUCCAUAGCAGAUUCCCAUUCUGCUACAGUUUUUUCAAACAAGUUGGAACCUAUAACUUCCAAAGCCAAUGGAAGGCCAGAAGCAUAAGUUACUACACGAUUCAAGACAUCCUCAUAACUUGGAUCAAUUUUUUCUCUUUUAAAAGCAUUCCACGUAAGCAAUUGAAGAGCAGCACUCUGAUUUAAAACCUUCACCUCAUAGGUUCUUUCAACCUCAUGAUAUUUUAGCAGAUGUUUGUCCCGAGUGGUAAUGAUGACUCUGCUACCGGGACCAAACCAAUCAGGUCUUCCAACAAUAGCCUUUAAUUGCUGGCGCUUAUCAACAUCAUCUAAAAUCAAGAGAACCUUCUUUCGUUGGAGCCUAUGUUGUAUCAUUGAAGCUCCUUCUUGCCAACUUGUUAAGGUGAUGUCCUUCUCCCCAAGUAAUUUUGAAAGAAGGAUGCUUUGAAGGUGUUUUAACCCAUGUUUAUUUGAUUCUUCUCUCACAUUUUGAAGAAAACAGGAUUCAUCGAAAUGGAGAGCAAUGAAAUUAUGAACUGCCAGAGCAAGUGUUGUUUUUCCUAACCCGCCCAUUCCAUGGAUCCCUAUGAUAUGGACAACAUCAUGGGAUCCAACAUCCAAAAGCUUCAUUACCUCUGUCACUUCUGACUCUAGACCAACUGGAUAAUCCGCAACAUGUAAAGAAGCACGACUAAACUUCCUAGAGAUCUCCUCAACAAUACUCCCAAUAAACUCGUAUUCAUAUGAAUCUCUGUUUCUAACAAACAAAAAAAGUUCUGAUGAAGUCAGCGUAAAACCCUUGCAUCCAUAUUUAAAUUUGACUAGUUAAAUCAAUAGACAAGUAAAACCUAAUCCAAUAAAAACCAUAAAGUAAUAUAUAUUAGUAUGAUUGUAUACCCAUCUUUGAAAUGAUAGCCAGACAAGUCAGCUACUUGAUGCAAAGCCAUCCUCCAUUUCUGCAGCUUCUCCUUGUUAGCUUUGAACCUCUUCUGAUGCUUAGCCAUUGCUUCUCCAUAACUACCUUUCUGGUGUCUGACAUGAGAAGGAUCUACCUUAUAAAAGACCGGUAUAACCAACAGCCCUUGACUCUUGCAGUGAAGGAUGGUUACUAGUUCAUCUAAACAAAAUGAGGAAGAUGCAUAGUUUUGAGAAAGCACAGUAAUAGCAAUCCUGGACUCUUGAAUUGCGUUGGAAAGUGCAGGUUUUAUUUCGUCUCCUCUCCGAAGCUCCUGAUCAUCAAUGAAAGUGUAGAUUCCCCUGUCACAAAGAGCUUUGUAGAGAUAGCCAGUGAAACCCUGGCGUGUGUCUUGCCCUGUGAAGCUGAGGAACACAUCGUAGUUGUAUGCAAGGGAACGUGUUGUCGCAGCCAUUAUUAGAAGAAAAAAGUUCAGUAUGAUAAUGGUUGAUAUGCUGGGAGAGUAGAACCAAGCUUGAAGAAAUAUAAAAAAGAUAGUAUAGAAAAUGUUAAGUGGGGCACCAAGCAUUAUUUCACGCGGUACCAAAUGGUGUUACAAAGAAGGUAGCCGCCUUUGUGGAAAAUAUCUUGUUUUUUCUCAUUCUCUGUUUUAAAAGUCAAGUCAAGCUCUUAUAAAGAAAGAUGCUUACUUUUUUUUCAUUUUAAAAACUACUUUUUAUAAUCAAAUUAUUACAAAUAAACAAUAAAAGUAUUUUUAAUAAUUGGUACUGUAUUUCAAAUGAUUAACUGGUGGUACUACUAAUUCUCCCGCCCCAAAAAGAAUUGUUAAUUAGAGAAUCAAAAUAUAUAUUAACUAAUAAGUAAUCUGAUAAUUUUUAAUCACAAGAGCUUCAAAAUUUGUCUUUUAUAUAUAUAAAUUUCUCAUUGAAAGAGUUUUAUAAUUACCUUGAUAAUUUUGCUGAAAACACCCACACAUAAGAUGUUUUACUUUAAGUCAGAUGUAUUUGUUCGAAAAGUAUUAGAAGUUAAUUUUGUAUAAUAAAAAUCAUGUGAAAAUAUGAAAAAUGUUAACCAAUAAUUUAGGACAUUGAUUAAAAAAUAAAAAUAAAAAUAUUGAAAAAUAUCACAUACGAUAUACCUUUUUUGUAAUUUUCCAUGCACUUGUUAAUUUGAUAACGCAACUUCAAUUUUGGUGGGUCAAAGAAGAUUUUCAUAUUUUAAUUAUUCAUAAUACUCUUCUUGAUGCAUAUUAAUAGUAUUCUUUACGUCAUCAAAAAGAAAAUAUACUGAAUAAUAUUAUUCAAUUUAUCUUUCACUUGAUUCAAACUUCUUUCUCAUUUUAUCCGACUUUUCUAUACAUGAAUAUUCCCAUCCUAAAAAAGGAAUAAUAUUCAUAUUCAUUUUAAUUUUAAAUAAAACAACCGCGUUUCAUUUGCCUCUCUGACAAAAAGGCAGAAAAACAAACGUGUAGACCGUAAAAACACGUUUUCUCAUUUGCUUCUUUAGCUCUUAAUGGGUAAAGGCAGAAAAUUAGACAUGACAGACCAUAACAAACACUUUCAUAGGACAAAAACAGAAAAAAAGCUAAUGCUUUUUUUUCUAUAUAGUUUUACAAUUGUGCACUUUGAUCUUUCAAAUUUUUUUAUUACAUAUCUAGUCUAAAAAAUGAGAAACUAGUUUUUGUCUCACUCAAAUGUGAAUUCUUUGUUGCUUCUCUCACUCACACGCACACGCACACAAAGUAGAAAGGCAUCAGGAAUAAAACAAUGUUACCGAUUGAAUUAUGAAACGGAUCACAAUUAUAAUUACAAUAAUAUAAAACAAUGUUAGCGAUGACCAAAGGGAGGAUGGAAGCUAUCAAUCAACUAUUUCUUAAACGUACUUGUGUGGAUGUUUUAUGCCAAAACAUUUGGUGUGUUUGGUUAAAUUGCUGCGUGUCACUGCCAAAUCUCUUUUUUAAAUCCUCUAAUGAUUAGUCUCUUGAUUUAUUUUUAACCCCCAUUGCAUAUUCCUGUAAAAAAAAAAAAAACUGCUAUUGCAUAUUGACUUUUAUUUAAUUACCACUCCUUUUAGUUCCAUUCAUUUUUGCUGGGAGGAUGUCUCACUGGAUUUGAAGCAUAAAAGUAUCAACUAUAAAGGUGAUGGCAAAUCCUCAGAUAAAUGGGAGAGAACAGCAAAUUGUAUUUCAUUGUUUGGAUUUUUUGUGGAAUCGAUUGAAUUAUGGAACGGAUAACAAUUAUAAUUACAAUAAUAUAAAAUUUCGACCUUGAUUUUGCAUUUGCUGCACCAUCUUUUUUUAAGCCACGUAAACAGCAUAUUUGGAUUAAAUUUUGGAUAUCACGCUUUCACAUAUAGAAGUAACUUUUUUUUUUAUUUUCUAAUAAAAAUAUAGUUUGAAAUUUGAAAUUAUCUUCAAAUCUAACGAUGUUAUUUUUAUUUAAGUCACACAACAUUUAGAAUUUUGGACUAAAAUAAGUGACAACUUGUAUUUUCAAAGAACAAUUUUAUCCAACCUAAAAAAAAUAACUUUUUAUCAUUUUAUUACUUUUAGGGACAAAAUUUGCCGCGUCUCGCAGUUUCAGGAAAAAAAAAUUGGUCAUUUACUUAUCUAUUUGACAUGUUUUUAUAUCUAACUAAUAUGACAUUAAUAAUCUUUUUUAGACUUUGAUGUUUUUAUGUGAAUACCAAUUUAGUUGACUUGCACUUAAAUUUCCAACUUUUUAUAUAGUUAUUUAAUAAAAAAAUAUUAUUCCAUUAUUAUGUUUGAAAUUAAACUAAGUUUGAAAUAUUAUUUCAAGUUGGAUAAAACAUGAAAGGUUAUAUAUAGAAAAUGCAUAAAGUGGUGAAAGAUGAAUAUAAAUGAGUCGAAAGUACAUGAUGAAGAUAGGGUGAACACCAGUCAGUUGGGUUAAGUCAAUUUUUGACAACUAAAACCAAAAUAAUAAAAUAAAAAACAUGAAAAAAAUAAGAAAAAAGCUAUGGAAAACUUGCGUGUCCCCAAAGCUAUGGUUUGUAGCAACCAGGAGUUUUCUGAUGCAGAGCUGCUAAGAUAAGGAUCAUCAAAUCGAAUAUCUUGCUCCAUACUGCUUUCUUCUUUGAAUAUAUAGAUUCCAGUUGCUUUAAUGACUGAACCUUCUUCUCUUUUUUCUUUUACAUGGGUUAACACAAUUUGAUAUCUAACCUCCACAUGGUUCCAUUCCUUUUCCCAAGCCACUUCUUCAAACUGAUUAUUAUUUUUGAAAGCAAACGGUUGGAGAUCAAAGAUAUAUGUGUGGUCCAAUUCCAACAUACUUUCUAUCUUCUUACUUCCAUAAUAGAAUGGACGUUUUAGAAUUUUUCCAUUGAUGAACACCUUUGCUUUGACACCAAUCCCAGUAGACACAGGUGCAAUAAGAAGACAAAGAAGUUUGGCAGGGAAUUUAUUACGAAACCAGAAAGAACUUGAAUGUCCACUGCUUUGCUGAUCCAACCACUCUGGUAUUCUUGUUCCUGUAAACAUAAAAUUGGUUCCUCCAGCCUCAUGCAGUUUCUGUUAGUCAUCAUUCAUAAAGAAAUCAUAAGUUUAACAACAUUAAGUGCACUAUACAUCAUCGAAUCCUGUACUGUAACAAAAAAGACAAUACCUGAUUUAAAAGCAUGCUUUUAGUCGAGGAAGUCAAGGAUGCACAGUUUCUUGCAUCAAAAUACUCUAAGUUUGGAGGAAGCCCUCUAAUUUCCUGAAGAUGCUCGCAAUCACUCACCAUAAGUGCUCUUAAAAAUUGCAAUUCUUUGAAGAAUUCAGGAAGGAUUGUGAAAUUAUUCCCCGAUAGAUCUAAAUAUUCUACACGAGUAAACCUCUUGGAACCUGUUAAAAAAAAAUCAUCACAUAGAUUGCAGUUCAUGGCAAUAAACCAAAGUUCCUUUGAAGAUAUCAUUGAGCCUACUUUUUCUUCACCUUCUUCCGAUUCUACCCAAUGCCACCUGUUGCAAUUUUCAAUACGGAAUACAGACAGUUCGGGCAUCAUGGCUAAGCUACAUGGUAACUGAAUAAUUCCACAACUAUUCAGGGUUAACCGACAGAGUCCAAUAAGAUUUUGAAAUGAAAAUGGCAAUUCUUUUAUGGGAAGGCCAUCCAAAUCAAGUGCCUUUAUGUUUUCCAUCUCUCCUAAUAUUUCUGGAAAAUACUCUAGACUGGAACACCCAGAAAGUUGAAGUGUUUCAAGAGAGGUCAAGUUGAGAGGUGGAAAACUCCUAAGCUUCCUGCAACCAUAAGCACUCAAUUUUUUAAGUUUAUUCAGAAAACCAAUUGAGUCAUCAACUGCAAUUAAACUCUCACACCAAUCAAAUGAAAGUUCCUUCAAAUUUGGGAGAUCAGAUACAUCAGGUAUCUGUGUUAAAAAUUCGCACUGGUCAAAAUUCAAGACUGUUAGAUGCCAAAACUUCUGCAAAGGAAAAAAAAAAAGAAAUGAGAACCAUAUGAAUAAAUUUUAAGUGAAUUUAUUAAUUCAUGGGAUGAGGAAAAUGUAAUCUUUAAACUUGCCUUGGAUGGGCCAUGCAACUCAAAUGACGUAAUGGAACUGUCGGGUAACUUGCAUAUAAGAAGGUUGUUCGGAUGAAAGUUAUAUGGUAGACAAUUUGAAGGAUAUCUGUGCCAUUCCAGUACUGUCAAACCUUCGGGAAAAUAAUUGGGACCUUUGGAAAAUUUUCCAUUUCUAAUAAUAAGUAUUUUAAGGUUUUCCAUCUUCAUGAAGGCGUUUUCAUUCCAUUCUACUGUUUCUUCUUUGUCAGAUAUGGAGAAAUCCAGGCAUAUGAUUUCAAUUUUACUAGUUCCCUGUUAAUGCAAAAAGGCACGAAUCAACCACAAUACAACUUGUGUGAAAUAUCAAUUGACUCGAUUAGAAAAAUUCACAAAUUAUCAAGAAAAAGUUAACCAUGAUGUAAAUAUGAGAUAGAUAAAAAAAAAUUCAACUAUUCAUGAGCUCACUCACCGUGUUGUGUUUUAAAACUUGAAAUAUAUCUUUUGGUGACCAUAAUCUCUUGCACUUCCAAGGCUCUUCUGGUGAUCUCUGCCGCUCAAUUUCUCUACCCAUGUCCUGAAUCAGGUCGUGCAUUUCAACAGUACCACUAUCAUAGCAGUUAAGCUUUAUGAGAGAUUUUUCAACCAACACCCCAAUAUGAUGCUUCUUGCAGUUACCAUAAAAAGCACGGAGUAUAUCAUCAACCUCUGUCCAUUUAUACCCUUUGAAGCAACAAGCAAUGUCAAGAAACACAUUCUUUUGUUCUUCUCCCAAAGCAUCAAAGCUUACUUUUAGAAUCUUUAGGAUUUCAUCACUCGGAAUUCUUUUAUAAUGUUCCACUGCAGAUUCCCAUUCUGCUACAGUUUUUCCAAAUAAGUCGGAACCUAUGACUUCCAAAGCCAAUGGAAGGCCAGAAGCAUAAGUUACUACACGAUUCAAGACGUCGUCAUAAAUUGGAUCAAUUUUUUCUCUUUUAAAAGCAUUCCACGUAAGCAAUUGAAGAGCAGCAUUGUGAUUCAAAACCUUCACCUCAUAAGUUCUUUCAACCUCAUGAUAUUUUAGCAGAUGUUUGUCCCGAGUGGUAAUGAUGACUCUGCUACCCGGACCAAACCAAUCAGAUCUUCCAACAAUAGCCUCUAAUUGCUCGCGCUUGUCAACAUCGUCUAAAAUCAAGAGAACCUUUUUUCGUCGGAGCCUAUGUUGUAUCAUUGAAGCUCCUUCUUGCCAACUUGUUAAGGUGAUGUCCUUCUCACCAAGUAAUUUUGAAAGAAGGAUGCUUUGAAAGUGUUUUAACCCAUGUUUAUUUGAUUCUUCUCUCACGUUUUGAAGAAAACAGGAUUCAUCAAAAUGGAGAGCUAUAAAAUUAUAAACUGCCAGAGCAAGUGUUGUUUUUCCUAACCCGCCCAUUCCAUGGAUCCCUAUGAUGUGGACAAGAUCAUCGGAUCCAACAUCCAAAAGCUUCAUUACCUCUAUCACUUGUGACCCUAGACCAACUGGAUAAUCCGCAACAUGUAAAGGAGCACAAUUAAUCUUCCUAGAGACCUCCUCAACAAUAUUCCCAAUAAACUUGUAUUCAUAUGCAUCUCUGUUUCCAACAAACAAAAAAAGUUCUAAUGAAGUCAACCUAAAAGCCUUGCAUCCAUGUCUUGAUAGGUACAUUAAUUGUCAAGAUUAACAGGCACCUAUUUUCUCUUUAUAUUUUACAAGUUUAAUCAAUAGACAUGUAAACCCUAAUCCAAUAAAAACCAGUAAGUAAUAUAUAUUAGUAUGAUUGUAUACCCAUCUUUGAAAUGAUAGCCGGACAAGUCAGCUACUUGAUGCAAAGCCAUCCUCCAUUUCUGCAGCUUCUCCUUCUUAGCUUUGAACCUCUUCUGAUGCUUAGCCAUUGCUUCUCCAUAACUACCUUUCAGGUGUCUGACAGCAGAAGGAUCUACGUUAUGAAAGACCGGUAUAACCAACAACCCUUCCCUCUUGCAGUGAAGGAUGGUUACAAGUUCAUCUAAACAAAACGAGGAAGAAGCAUAGUUUUGAGAAAGCACAGUAAUAGCAAUCCUGGACUCUUGAAUUGCCUUGGAAAGUGCAGGUGUUAUGUCGUCUCCGCUGUGAAGCUUGUCUUCGUCAAAGAAGGUAUGAAUUCCCUUGUCACAAAGAGCCUUGUAGAGAUUGCCAGUAAAACCAUAGCGCGUGUCUUCCCCUCUGAAGUUGAGGAACACAUCGUAGAUGGAUGCAAGGGAACGUGUUGUUGCAGCCAUUAUUAGAAGAAAACAGUUUAGUAUGAUAAUGGUUGAUAUGGUGGGAGUGUAGAAUCAAACUUGAACAAAUAUGAAAAAGAUAGCAUACAAAAUGUUUAUUAUUACGCAGAGUAACACCGACAUAGGGUAACAAUGACAUAGUACCAAAGUAGAUAGCCUUGUGGAAAAUAUCUCGCUUUUUUUUCUUUUAAUUAAUUUGAUUUUUUUAAAUUAUAAGCUUCAAAGGUUUUCUUGCAUUAGAAUUGCGUUUGACUCAUUUUUUUAUUUGAAAGAUUGCCUUAAAAUUUAAAUUUAGAAAUAAGAGGUUUAAAUAUAACUAAAAAAUUUAAUAUAUAUUUUUUUAAUUUUCAUUAGCUUAAAACCUAAGCAGCACAUUAACAAAAUUGAACCGGAUUAAGAUAUUCUCCUUCCUUGUGACUAUUAUUUCUUUAUACCCAAAUUCAUAUUUUCAUUGCCAGUCAUUUACAAACUAUAGUUUUCUUCAUGUUAUUAAUUGUUUUUUGACUGUUAUAACGUGUUUCAUUGCACAAAACGCAAAUGGCCCACUACUUAACGAUAUAGACUAAUGCCAAGUCUGAUGCAAUAAGAUAGUACAAAGGGAGUAUAUUUUUCUUAAGUUUAUCUAAACGCAAAUGGUGCUGCUACUAGCAAUCGCUUUUAUGAUGAUUUUGAGCCUUAUUGCCAAUGGCUUACAAAGGAUGGACAAGCCACUCUUGAGAUUAAUUUGAAGGGUAUUAAUUAAAAUUCAUUUUCUCCUUAUAUGUUCUCAUUUGGAUGACAUUAAUCUUAAUAAGAGAACCUAAGAAUUUCUCCAAACUUCACACCUAACAUUAUAGGUCUCAUAUAUAUAUCACCUAACACUUUCUCCAAACUUUACACCUUUAUUUUUAAGGACACAAAACCUAAGAAUAUCAUAAUUAAUCGUCCCAAACUUGAUAAGUAAUAAGACAAAAUAUUGAUGAUAUCAGUUAAAAAUGGAAAGAAAAUCAUAAUAAUAAAUUAAGAUGAAAUUUAUUCUAAUGGUAUACAUAUGGUAAUUUUUUCUUAUCUUAAACUCUUGCAUGUUUUAAAAAGGAGUCACUUAAGAUUCAAACCUACAACUGGGGGAUCCUAACUAUUCACCAAGAAAGGCCUGAGAUGCAUCCAAUAACAAAUGGAGCCGUUUCUGCAGAGAAAUUAAAAUUUUAAAAGGAUGUAAUAUGAAUUCAAUCCGUGCAAAGUUUUCUCAUGGGGUUCUUUUCAUUGCAAUGCCUAAAGAAGCAGUCAUGGAGAAUCAUUUCAUUUGGGAAAAGAAACAAGAAAGAGAGUAUAAGGCAUUAAAGUUGCAGAUGGAGUGGUGUUCAUGGUGGCACUUGAGACUUAUAUUGGUCGACUAGUAAGUAGUGAUAAAGCUUAUUAAGUUUCAUUGCUAUUAAAAAACACAAUUUCUUUCUCAACUUAUUAAGUUUUAUGAUAAAGCUUCAUCCUUAUUAAAUGAUUUCAAUUUUCUUUCUCUUUUUAAAAUUUCCACAAAUAUCAUCAUCAUCAUCACUUUGAUGAUUAUUAUGGUUUGUAAAUCUUUUAUCCACUUAACUUUCAAAAUAAUUUAAAAAUCCAUUUCUUAAGAAUUUGGUUUCUGCAAAAAAUUAGUAAUUUCUUCUCACAUAACACGGCUGUUAAUUAUCUAUUAACAUUUGACGUUUAUCUCAUUUAUUUAAUAUAUGUUCUAGCAUAACCUUCUAACGGUGAUGCUCUUUUGAGAGUUCUUCCGAAUGAUGGUGAAAGGAACUAGUGAAAUGUACCUUCAAAAGUACUUUGACAGCAUAUAAGAAUACAGGUUGAAUUAAUAGUUGGUUUUACUUGACCUUAAAGACCUUUUUUAUAAUAGUUGGAUUGUCAAUUUCAUACUGCUAGUUAAUAUUUUUUAAGUAUGUAUGUAGGUAUUAUCUUGUAUAUGAUUGUGUAUAUCAAUAUUUUUAUCUUUGAAUAAAAAAUAUGUAUUAAAAUGAUUUUUAUUGAAAUUUUCCUUAUUACAUUUUGAUAAAGGUAGAAAUUUUUUACCGCUAAAAACAUAUUAAAAUGUUUUUUUAUUGAAAUUUUCCUUAUUUCCUUUUCAUGAUAUUUAUAAUGAUUCCUACUCAAAAAAAAGAUUGUCAAUCAUGGCCAACAACAGAAAGAACAUAAAGACAAUAAGAGGAUUGAAAAAAGUAUUGAAAGUUUGUUGUAGGUUUGCUGAUAAAGCAAAGAAUAUCUCUUUAGCUGAGAUUACGUAUAAUUGCCGAGAUAAACUUUUUUUUUUCUGCAUUAUAUUGGACAUGCUUUCCAUUUGGGCCUUGUUACGAUCACAUUUAGUGUUCCACCGAAAAUUAACAAAAUGCAAAUAAUCAAAUAUUUAUAAUAAUUAUCAAUAUAAAACAACAUUUGUUCACCAAAGAUACUAAUAAUAGAUAACACAAAAGUUGACAAUUAGAAGUUGUUUUACCAUUCUCAUCUAAACCAUCAAAAUAUAACUAUAACUAAACUUGUUUUCUAUUUCACAUUGGGAAUAAAUAUUAUUUCUUUGCUUGAAUUGAGGCAUGUCUUCACAAUUUCUCCUUCUCCGUUGGUACGUUGACAGUCUUUGAUAAUCAAUGUCAAUAGUUUUUGUAUUUUUUUUACUCAAUUGUUUGUUAACUUUUGUAACCUUUGAAUUUUGUUUGAAGAACCUAACAUGGAAUUUAUGGUAACCCACAUACACAUAGAACUAGACGAUAUAUAUCGCGUGAAGGAGCAAUAUCUACUAAGGUUGUAAAUCAACUUUAUAAUUUUAAUCCUUCUUGAUAUUAUUAUUCAUUGUUAUUUCUAACUAUGUAAAUUUGAAUCACAGUAUUAUCUUGGUCAUCACCAAUAUCAAUCAUAUGCCGAACCCAAUGUAACUCGGGUGCAUAUUCCUGGAUGUAUGUCUCAACAUCAACCAUCACAAGCACAAUAUUAAUUUUAUGUCCCAUAUCUAGAAUAACUUGUUGUAGGACAUCGUUUCAUUAUUAGUUUAACAAAUAUGUAAAUUUUAUUUAAAUAUAAUCAAUUUUUAAUUUAAAGUUUUCAUGUAUUUUUUUUGAUAGAUUAUUUAAACUUUAAAUAAAAAACAUUUAACGUAAAUUAUAUUAAAAAUAUAUAUAACAUGUUUUAAAUAAUAAAACAUUAGAAUAAAAUAAUAACAUAUCAAAUAAAAUCACAAAAAAUAUAUAGGAAUUAAGAUAAAACUUGAAAGGUUAUAUAAAUUGCAUAGCCAUCAGAGAUAUACAUGAUGAAGAUGGGGUGGACACUAGUUUGGUUAAUUCGAUAUCCAAACUGAUUAAUGUUAAACGGUUUGGAUUAGUUUGAGUUUUUUAACAUUUUUUACAUCUCUCAAACCAAAAUAAUAAAAUAAAAAACAAGAAAAAAAAAAAACAAAAAAGCUAUGGAAAACUUGCAUGUCCCCAAACCUAUGGUUUGUAGCAAGGAGGGGUUUUCUGAUGCAGAACUGCCGAGAUAAGGAUCAUCAAAUCGAAUAUCUUCCUCCAUACUGCCUUCUUUAAAUAUAUGGAAUCCAGUUACUUUAAUGAGUGAGCCAUCUAAGUCUAACAAACCUCUUUCUCUUUUUCUUUUUUCAUACGCUAACACACCUGGAUAUCUAACCUCCACAUGGUUCCAUUCUUUUUCCCAAGCCAUUUCUUCAAACCGAUUAUCAUUUUUUAUAGCGAACGCAUGGAGAUCAAAGAUAUAUGUAUGAUCGAUAUCCAAUUUCAACAUACUUUGUAUAUCGUCCCAUAAAUAGUAGUGCCAAAAUUCUUGAAAUUUGCUAUUGAUGAACACCUCGAGUUUAAGGAAAGGAUACCCGGCACCCGACACAGGUGCAAUAAGAAGACAAAGAAGUUUGGCAGGGAAUUUAUUACGAAACCAGAAAGAACUUGAAUGUCCACUGCUUUGCUGAUUGAACCACUCUGGUAUUCUUGUUCCUGGAAACAUAAACUUGGUUCCUCCAGCCUCAUACAGUUCCUGUUAGUCAUAAUUCAUAAAGAAUUCAUAAGCUUAACAACAUUAAGUGCACCAUCAUCAAAUCAUAUACAUUAUAAAAAGACAAUACCUGAUUUAGAAGCAUGCUUUUACUCGAGGAAGUCAAGGAUGCACAGUUUAUUGCCCUGAAAUCUUUUAAGUUUGGUGGAAGCCCUCUAAUUUUCUGAAGAUGCUCGCAAUCACUCACAUCAAGAGUUCUUAAAAAUUUCAGUUCUUUGAAGAAUUCGGGAAGGAUUGUGAAAUUAUUCCCCGAUAGAUCUAAAUAUUCUACAUGAGUAAACCUCUUGGAACCUGUUAAAAAAAAAUCAUCACAUAGAUUGCAAUUCAUGGCACGAAACCAACGUGCCUUUGAAGAUAGUAUUGAGCCCACUUUUUCUUCACCUUCUUCCGAUUCUACCCAUUGCCACCUGUUGCAAUAUUCAAUAUGGAGUUGAAACAAUUCGGGCAUCAUCACUAAUCUGCAUGGUAACUCAACAAUUAAACAGCUCCACAGGUAUAACACUUGAAGUCCAAUAAGAUUUUGAAAUGAAAAUGGCAAUUCUUUUAUGGGAAGGUCUCUCAAAACAAGUUGCUUUAUGUUUUCCAUCUCUCCUAAUAUUUCUGGAAAAUACUCAAGACUGGAACACCCAGAAAGUUGAAGUGUUUCAAGAGAGGUCAAGUUGAGAGGAGGAAAACUUGUAAGCUUCCUGCAACCAUAAGCAUUCAAUUUUUUAAGUUUAUUCAGAAAACCAAUUGAGUCAUCAACUGCAACUAAACUCUCACACCCUUUAAAUGAAAGUUCCCUCAAAUUUGGGAGAUCAGAUACAUCAGGUAUCUGUGUUAAAAAUUUGCAGUUGUCAAACUUCAAAACUGUUAGAUGCCCGAACUUCUGCAAAGGAAAAAAAAAGAAGAAAAGAAAUAAGAAGGAAUGAAUAAAUUUAUAGUGAAUUUAUUAAUUCACUGGAUGAGGAAAAUAUACUGUAUAAACUUGCCUUCGAUGAGCCAUGAAACUCAAAUGACGCCAUGGAACUGUCAGGUAACUUGCAUAUAAGAAGGUUGUUCGGAUGAAAGUUAGAUGGUAAACACUUUGAAGGAUAUCUGUGCCAUUCCAGUACUCUCAAACCUUCUGGAAAAUAAUUGGGACCUUUGGAAAAUUUGCCAUUUCUAAUAAUAAGGAUUUUAAGGUUUUCCAUCUUCAUGAAGGCGUUUUGGUUCCAUUCCACUGUCUGUUCUUUGUCAGAUAUGGAGAAAUCCAGACAUAUGAUUUCAAUCUUACUAGUUCCCUGUUAAUUCAAAAUAGCACGAAUCAACCACAAUACAACUUAUGUGAAAUAUCAAUUGACUGAAACGUUUAGAUAAAUUUACAAAUUAUCAAGAAAAAGUUAACUAUGAUGUAAAUAUGAGAUAGACCAAAAAAAAUUCAACUAUUCAUGAGCUCACUCACCGUGUUGUGUUUUAAAACUUGAAUUAUAUCUUUUGGUAACCAUAAUCUCUUGCACUUCCCUGGCUCUUCAGGUGAUAUCUGCCGCUCAAUUUCUCUACCCACAACCUGAAUUAGGUCAUGCAUAUUUACUGUACCAUGCCUAACCUUUAUGAGAGAUUUGUCAACCAACACAUCAAUAUGAUGUUUCAUGCAGUUAUUGUAAAGACCACGUAGCAUAUGUUCAACCUCUGUCAAUUUGCAUCCUUUGAAGCAACAAGCAAUGUCAAGGAAAACAUUCUUUUGUUCUUCCCCCAAAGCAUCAAAGCUUACUUUUAGAAUUUCUAGGAUUUCAUCAUUGGGAAUUCUUUUAUAAUGUUCCACAGCAGAUUUCCAUUCUGCUACCCUUUUUCCAAACAUGUUGGAACCUAUGACUUCCAAAGCCAAUGGAAGGCCAGAAGCAUAAGUUACUACACGAUUCAAAACGUCCUCAUAACUUGGAUCAAUUUUUUCUCUUUUGAAAGCAUUCCAUGUAAGCAAUUGUAGAGCAGCAUUCUGAUUCAAAACCUCCACCUCAUAUCUUUUUUUAACCCCAUGAGGUGCUAGCAGUUGUUUGUCCCGAGUGGUGAUGAUGAUUAUGCUGCCAGGACCAAACCAAUCACGUCGUCCAGCAAUUGUCUGUAAUUGCUGGGGCUUGUCAACAUCGUCCAGAAUCAAGAGAACCUUCUUCCCCUUAAGCAUAGACUGGAUCUUUGAAAUUCCUUGUUGCUUACUUCUUACUUUGAUGUCCUCUCCAAGUAUUUCUGAAAGAAGAAUGCUUUGGAGGUGUUGUAACCCAUGAUUGUUUGAACUUUCUCUCACGUUUUCAAGAAAACACAAACCAUCAAAAUUCUCAGUAAUUAUUAAAUCAUUAUAGACAGCUCGAGCAAGAGUUGAUUUUCCUAUCCCACCCAUUCCGUGGAUCCCUAUCAUGCAGACACCAUCAUGGUUUCCAACAUCCAAAAGCUUCCUUACUUCUUGUACUUUUGACUCUAGUCCAACAGGCAGAUCCGCAACAUGUAAACUAGCAGGGUUAAUCUUCUCAGAGACCGAUGCAACAAUUCUCCCAAUAAACUUGUAUUCAUAUUCAUCUCUAUCUCAAACAAAAAAGUUUCAAUGAAAUUAAACUAAAAGCCUAGUAUCCAUGCCCUGAUAAGUCCAUACGUGUAUCGACAAGGUUAACACAUAUUUCUUUUCUCUUUAAAUUUGAACAUUAAAUUGUCAGACAAGUAAAACUUAAUCCAAUAAAAAAUAAAAAAUAAAAAGAAAGGUAUGGUUGGGUACCUAUCUUUGAAAUGAAGGCCAGACAAGUUGGCUACUUGACGCAGAGCCCUCUCCCAUUUCUGCAACUUGUCUGGAAAUCUUUUCUUAUGCUUAGCCAAUGCUUCUCCAUAAGUACCUUUCUGGUGUCUGACAUCACAAGGAUAGACCUUAUAAAAGACCGGUAUAACCAUCAUCCCAUUAUACUGGGCGCAGAAAAGGAUGGUUGCAAGUUCAUCCAAGCAAAAUGAGGAAGAAGCAAAGUCUUCAGAGAGCACAGUGAUGGCAAUCCUGGAAUCUUGAAUUGCCUUCAAAAGUGCUGGUGUUAUUUCCUCUCCACUGUGAAGCUUGUCUUCGUCAAAGAAGGUAUGAAUUCCCUUGUCACAAAGAGCCUUGUAGAGAUUGCCAGUAAAACCAUAGCGUGUGUCUUCCCCUCUGAAGCUGAGGAAAACAUCGUAGAUUGAUGCACGAGAACGUGUUGCCGCAGCCAUUAUUAGAAGAAAAAAGUUUAGUAUGGUUAUGGUUGAUAUGGUAGGAGGUAGAAUGAAACUUGAACAAAUAUGAAAAUGAUAGUAUACCAAAUGCUGUGUAUUAUAAAGAAGAUAGCCGCCUUUGUGGAAAAUAUCUUGUUUUUUUUCAUUCUCUGUUAUAAAAAGUCAAGCUCUUAUAAAGAAAGAUGCUCUCACUUUUUUCAUUUUAAAAAAUACUUUUUAUAAUCAAAUUCUUACAAAUAAACUAUAAAAAGUAUUUUUAAUAACUGGUAUUUUAUUUAAAAUAAUUAACUGGUGGUACUACUAAUUCUCCCGCCCCUAAAAGAAUUGUUAGAGAAUCAAAGUAUAUAUUAACUAAUAAGUAAUCUGAUAAUUUUUAAUCACAAAGAGCCUCAAAAUUUGUCUUUUAUUAAAACAGAGUAAAAAUAUAAGUGAGAGACGAAAAUAGAGAAGAGAUAGAAUACGAGAAAAAAGUUAUGCAUACUCGAAGCGUAAUUUUUUUUACAUAACUAAGAAUCCAUUCAAAUUCACUGAGUAUCACUGAAACUAACGCUCUAGAAUCCAUUAAAAUUACUAGGUCAUAUUGUCAGAGUAACUGGAAUUCCGUAUCUCACAAAAUCUUAAAACAACCAGCUAUGUUUUCAUCCAAGACAAACCUUAUCAUGAUAAUGAAUAAGAAGUUUAGAUAGAUCAUAUAGUAGUAUGCUAGCUAAGUCCUAAGAAGUACACUUUCAAAAUUUAACUAAUUUAAGUUUUUCUCCUUUCUGAUCAAAUUAUUUAGCAUAACCAGUAGGAACCUGAUCAUCCUAGCAAUUAGAAGGGAGAAAGUAGAACCUGCAAAAAUAAAAAAGUUAAAGAUAUAAAUUUGUAUUGACUUAAAUAUUUAAAAUGAAUAAAUAAUCAAUUUUCUUCCUAAAAGUAUGAGGCAGUAUGCAGUGUCAAUUUAAUCCCUAAAAGUAAUAAAAUAAAGGAGAAAAAAUCUCCAAUGUCCUUACCGUAUCACUUUAGUUCCUAAACUUAACUUAUUGUCAUUUGGUCCUUAAGAUAUGCUAAUUUUUUUUAUUUUAAUAAGUCACACAACAUUUAGAAUUUUGGAUUAAAAUAAGUGACAACUUGCAUUUCCAAAGAACUUUUUUUUUAUCUAACCUAAAAAAAAUACCUUUUUAUCAUUUUAUUACGUUCAGGAGCUCAAGUGGCCACGUCCCGCAAUUUCAGGAAAAAAAAUGACAUUUACUUAUCUAUUUGACAUGUUCUUAUAUCUAACUAAUAUGAUAUUAAUAAUCUUUUGUAAACUUCGAUAUUUUAACGUGAAUGCUAGUUUAGUUGACUUUUUGCUCUUAAAUUUACAAUUUUAGUUAUUUGAUAAAAAAAACAUUAUUCCAUUAUCAUGCCUCAAGUUAAACUAAGUUAGAAAUAUAUUUAAAACACUAUAUAUUACUAAAAGUUUUAUGUUCUGUUUAUAUGACUGAAAUAUAUUGUCAAUAAAAAUACAAACAUAAAUUAAUUAAUUACUAUUCAUAUUUUUUAUCAAAAUUAAAAUUUUCAAAUGUACUUUUAGAUCACAUAUACUAAUAUUAGUAGUAUAAAAAAAAUUGUAAUAUAUUAUUAAAUAAGUAUACAAAAAAAUUACAAAUAUAUUUUUAUAUUGUUUUAUAGUAGAACUUGUAAGGGAAAAUCUAAAACUAAACAAAAAGCAUAUUAAAUAAUUUUUUUACUUUCUUUUAAUUACAGUGUAUAUAUAAGAUAGAUAUAUUUUUUACUUACUAAAACUAAACACAAUUUUGAUAUCUGUUGGUUUAUGUAGUUUUGAAAUCUGACUAUAAAAAUAUAUAGAAAGUUAAACUUGAAAGGUUGCAUAUAGAAAAGGUUAUAUAUAGAAAAUACAUAUAGUCGUGAAAGAUGAAUAUAAAUGAGUCAAAAGUACAUGAUGAAGAUAGGGCGAACAGCAGUUGGGUUAAGUCAAUUUUUGAUAACUGAAACCAAAAUAAUAAAAUAAAAAACAUGAAAAAAACAAGAAAAAAGCUAUGGAAAACUUGCGUGUCCACAGAACUAUGGUUUGUAGGAAGGAGGGGUUUUCUGAUGCAGAACUUCUGAGAUAAGGAUCAUCAAAUCGAAUAUUUUCCUCCAUACUGCUUUCUUCUUUGAAUAUAUGGAUUCCAGUUGUUUUAAUGACUGAGCUCUCUAAGUCUAACACACCUUCUUUUCUUUUUUCUUUUUCAAACGAUAAUACACUUUGAUAUCUAACCUCCACAUGGUUCCAUUCCUUUCCCCAAGCCACUUCUUCAAACAGAUUAUUAUUUUUGAAACGUAAAUCUUGGAGAUCAAAGAUAUAUGUAUGAUCCAAUUUCAACAUACUUCCUAUCUUCUUACUUCCAUAAUAGAGCGGAAAUUUUAGAAUUUUUCCAUUGAUGAACACCUUUGGAUUAAGGACACCAAUCCCAGUAGACACAGGUGCAAUAAGAAGACAAAGAAGUUUGGCAGGGAAUUUAUUACGAAACCAGAAAGAACUUGAAUGUCCACUGCUUUGCUGAUUGAACCACUCUGGUAUUCUUCUUCCUGGAAACAUAAAACAGGUUCCUCCAGCCUCAUGCAGUUUCUGUUAGUCAUAUAAUUCAUACAGAAUUCAUAAGUUUAACAAUAUUAAGUGCACUAUACAUCAUCAAAUCAUAUACAUUAUAAAAAAGACAAUACCUGAUUUAAAAGCAUGUUUUUACUCGAGGAAGUCAAGGAUGCACAGUUACUUGCAUCGAGAUACUUUAAGUUUGGUGGAAGCCCUCUAAUUUCCUGAAGAUGCUCGCAAUGACUCAUGUCAACACUUAUUAAAAACUGCAAUUCUUUGAAGAAUUCAGGAAGGAUUGUGAAAUUAUUCCCGGAUAGAUUUAAAUAUCUUACAUGAGCAAACCUCUUGAAACCUGCUAAAAAAAAAUCAUCACAUAGAUUGCAAUUCAUGGCAGAAAACGAAUGUGCCUUUGAAGACGGUAUUGGGCCCACUUUUUUUUCACCUUCUUCGGAUUCUACCCAUUGCCACCUGUUGCAAUUAUAAAUAUCGAUUCCAGACAGUUCGGGCAUCAUGGCUAAGCUACAUGGUAACUUAACAAUUCCACAGCUCCCCAGGGUUAACCAUGGGAGUCCAAUAAGAUUUUGAAAUGAAAACGGCAAUUCUUUUAUGUGAAGGCCAUACAAAAAAAGAUGCUUUAUAUUUUCCAUCUCUCCUAAUAUUUCUGGAAAAUACUCAAGACUGGAACAGUGAGAAAGUGCAAGUGUUUCAAGAGAGGUCAAGUUGAGAGGCGGAAAACUCGUAAGCUUCCUGCAACCAUAAGCACUCAAUUUUUUAAGUUUAUUCAGAAAACCAAUUGAGUCAUCAACUGCAACUAAACUCUCACACCAAUUAAAUGAAAGUUCCUUCAAAUUUGGGAGAUCAGAUACAUCAGGUAUCUUUGUUAAAAAUUCGCACUGGUCAAAAUUUAAAACUGUUAGAUGCCCGAGCUUCUGCAAAGACAAAAAAAAAAAGAAAGAAAGAAGAACCAUAUGAAUAAAUUUAAAGUGAAUUUAUGAAUUCACGGGAUAAGGAAAAUAUACUCUUUAAACUUGCCUUGGAUGAGCCAUGGAACUCAAAUGACGUAAUGGAGCUGUCAGGUAACUUGCAUAUAACAAGGUUGAUAGGAUCAAAGUUAGAUGGUAAACAAUUUGAAGGAUAUCUGUGCCAUUCCAGUACUCUUAAACCUUCUGGAAAAUAAUUGGGACCUUUGGAAAAUUUGCAAUUUCUAAUAAUAAGUAUUUUAAGGUUUUUCAUCUUCAUGAAGGCGUUUUCAUUCCAUUCCACUGUUUCUUCUUUGUCAGAUAUGGAGAAAUCCAGACAUAUGAUUUCAAUUUUACUAGUCCCCUGUUAAUGCAAAAAGGCACGAAUCAACCACAAUACAACUUGUAUGAAAUAUCAAUUGACUCACUUAGAGAAAUUUACAAAUUAUCAAGAAAAAGUUAACUAUGAUGUAAAUAUGAGAUAGGCAAAAAAAAUUUCAACUAUUCAUGAGCUCACUCACCGUGUUGUCUUUUAAAACUUGAAUGAUAUCUUUUGGUAACAAUAAUCUCUUGCACUUCCCUGGCUCUUCUGGUGAUCCAACUUGUAUGAAAUAUCAAUUGACUCACUUAGAGAAAUUUACAAAUUAUCAAGAAAAAGUUAACUAUGAUGUAAAUAUGAGAUAGGCAAAAAAAAUUUCAACUAUUCAUGAGCUCACUCACCGUGUUGUCUUUUAAAACUUGAAUGAUAUCUUUUGGUAACAAUAAUCUCUUGCACUUCCCUGGCUCUUCUGGUGAUCUCUGCCGCUCAAUUUCUCUACCCAUGUCCUGGAUCAUGUCGUGCAUUUCAACAGUAUCACAGCAGCUAACCUUUACGAGAGAUUUUUCAACCAACACCCCAAUAUGAUGUUUGGUGCAGUUACCAUAAAGGUCACGGAGUAUAUCAUCAACCUCUGUCCAUUUAUACCCUUUGAAUCAACAAGCAAUGCCAAGAAAAACAUUCUUUUGUUCUUCCCCCAAAGCAUCAAAGCUUACUUUUAGAAUCUCUUGGAUUUCAUCACUGGGAAUUCUUUUAUAAUGUUCCAUAGCAGAUUCCCAUUCAGCUACAGUUUUUUCAAACAAGUUGGAACCUAUAACUUCCAAAGCCAAUGGAAGGCCAGAAGCAUAAGUUACUACACGAUUCAAGACAUCCUCAUAACUUGGAUCAAUUUUUUCUCUUUUAAAAGCAUUCCACGUAAGCAAUUGAAGAGCAGCACUCUGAUUUAAAACCUUCACCUCAUAGGUUCUUUCAACCUCAUGAUAUUUUAGCAGAUGUUUGUCCCGAGUGGUAAUGAUGACUCUGCUACAGGGACCAAACCAAUCAGGUCUUCCAACAAUAGCCUUUAAUUGCUCGCGCUUAUCAACAUCAUCUAAAAUCAAGAGAACCUUCUUUCGUUGGAGCCUAUGUUGUAUCAUUGAAGCUCCUUCUUGCCAACUUGUUAAGGUGAUGUCCUUCUCCCCAAGUAAUUUUGAAAGAAGGAUGCUUUGAAGGUGUUUUAACCCAUGUUUAUUUGAUUCUUCUCUCACAUUUUGAAGAAAACAGGAUUCAUCAAAAUGGAGAGCAAUCAAAUUAUAAACUGCCAGAGCAAGUGUUGUUUUUCCUAACCCGCCCAUUCCAUGGAUCCCUAUGAUGUGGACAACAUCAUGGGAUCCAACAUCCAAAAGCUUCCUUACCUCUAUCACUUGUGACCCUAGACCAACUGGAUAAUCCGCAACAUGUAAAGGAGCACGAUUAAUCUCCCUAGAAACCUGCUCAAAAUACUCUGGAUAAACUUGUAUUCAUAUGCAUCUCUGUUUCAAACAAACAAAAUAAGUUCUGAUGAAGUCAGCCUAAAAGCCUUGCAUCCAUGUCUUGAUAGGUACAUUAAUUGUCAAGGUUAACAAGAGCAUUUCUUUUCUAUUUAAAUUUUACUAGUUAAAUCAAUCGACAAGUAAAACCUAAUCCAAUAAAAACCAUAAAGUAAAAUAUAUUACUAUGAUUGUAUACCCAUCUUUGAAAUGAUAGCCACACAAGUCAGCUACUUGUUUCAAAGCGAUCCUCCAUUUCUGCAGCUUCUCCUUCCUAGCUUUGAACCUCUUCUGAUGCUUAGCCAUUUCUUCUUCAUAACUACCUUUCUGGUGUCUGACAUCAGAAGGAUCUACGUUGUAAAAGACCGGUAUAACCAACAGCCCUUUCCUCUUGCAGUGAAGGAUGGUUACAAGUUCAUCUAAACAAAAUGAGGAAGAAGCAUAGUUUUCAGAAAGCACAGUGAUAGCAAUCCUGGACUCUUGAAUUGCCUUCAAAAGUGCAGGUGUUAUUUCCUCUCCGCUGUGAAGCUUCUUUUCGUCAAAGAAGGUAUGAAUUCCCUUGUCACAAAGAGCCCUGUAUAGAUUGCCAGUGAAACCAUGGCGUGUGUCUUCCCCUCUGAAGUUGAGGAACACAUCGUAGAUGGAUGCACGGGAACAUGUUGUUGCAGCCAUUAUUAGAAGAAAAAAGUUUAGUAUGAUUAUGGUUGAUAUGGUGGGAGUGUAGAAUCAAACUUGAACAAAUAUGAAAAUGAAAGUAUACCAAAUGUUAUAAAAGUCAAGGCAAGCUCUUGUAAAGAAAGAUGCUCUCACUUUUUUCAUUUUAAAACCUACUUUUUAUAAUCAAAUUAUUACAAAUAAACAAUAAAAGUAUUUUUAAUAAUGGGUACUGUAUUUCAAAUAAUUAACUGGUGGUACUACUAAUUCUCCCGCCCCAAAAAGAAUUGUUAAUUAGAGAAUCAAAAUAUAUAUUAACUAAUAAGUAAUCUGAUAAUUUUUAAUCACAAGAGCUUUAAAAUUUGUCUUUUAUAUAUAUAAAUUUCUCAUUGAAAGAGUUUUAUAAUUACCUUGAUAAUUUUGCUGAAAACACCCACACAUAAGAUGUUUUACUUUAAGUCAGAUGUAUUUGUUCGAAAAGUAAUAGAAGUUAAUUUUGUAUAAUAAAAAUAAUGUGAGUAAAUUAUUUUACAAGAAAUUUAUAUCCGUAUUUUUUUAUAAAAAUUAUCCAAAAUCAUCAAUCACUCAUCAUUUUCUUCCCUUCCCAAUGUACUGUUGACAUCCUUAAUAUAUUUUCAAGUAUUUUUCAGUAACUACUGAAUUUUUUGUUUCACAUAACAAACCACACUGAAACUCUGGCAUGAUUAUAUGGAAUUAUUUAUCUCUCAUAGUUGAUUCUAUUUACCACAUUUUGUAGAAACUAGAUCAUUUUUCCUCACACAUUUCUUGUGGUCUUUUGCAAGAAUGAAAAGUUAAAAAGUGUGUUUCAUUGCAGUAAAUUUCUGGUGGUUCGUGUUGAGACUCGUUGGCAAGUGUACCAAAUCGUCACAAGUAGUAAAGUACUCGGAAGUCCGAGUGUCGAAUCCACAGGGACUUUGUUUGUACUUAGAUUAAUGCAAAUCCAACUUAAAAGCAAGAGAUAAGAAUUUAAAAAAAAGAUAGAAGAUAAGGUAAAGAAAAGAUAAAAGAUUUAAAGAUAAAAUUAGGAGAUGAAAGAAUUAAAGAUAAAAUUAAAAGAUAAAGAAAAAGAUAAAAGAUAAAAGAUUUAGAUAAAAUAAUAUUAGGAACUGACUUGCCUUGUCUGCCUAGGAUGUAUGAGUUUAUGAUUUUUUCUUUACCAAUUCAGGUGAUUUUAUCCCACCCACAUCUAUUCAUUUACUUGCCCCUGAUGCCUCACAAUGACAAGUCUAUUUUACCUAUCUAUCCCCCAAAUGCCUUUGCAAAGACUCAAUAGAUAAAAUGCAUGAAGUUCUAAUUCUAGAUGUUUGCUUUGACGCAUGGGCAUAAUGCAAUCACUCUAUGCCUAGCAAUGAUUUUAUUAUGAUAUCUUUUCUUCUUGUUCUAUUAGAAGUUAUCCUCUCCCGAGCGUCUAACCCCUAAAACUAAUGCAUGCAUAUCUUCUUUAAAUCUUAUUUAGAAGUUACCCUCUCCCCUGAGCAUCUAACCCCUAACAGAAUAUAAAGAUGAGUAUGCAAGAUAAAAAUAUAAAAGAAAAUAGGAAAGAAAAACCUAGUAUUGCAUUGAUAAAUAGUGAAGAGUACAUCAUACAUCACUUUGGCUUCUAGGCCUGCCAGGCCCUAACUAAGGGUUUAGCCACUCAUGGCCGAGGGCUUUACAAGUAGAAGAGGGGGGAAAGAAAAGGAGUAAAUGAAACCCCUAGGAGAGGGGGUUCUGUCGUGGUGUGUUCUAUCCCUUGGACUGGCUCUCUAUUUAUAGCUGCUGAAGUGGGCUUUGGGCCUUCGUAGGCGCGCUCAGCGCGACACCCCCACGCUCAGCGCGUGUAGAUCGCGCGCUUAGCGCGCAUGUUUCAGGCUUAGCGCACGCUUCUGUUAGAUCGCGGGCUUAGCACGCGUGUUGCAGGCUUAGCGCGCGCUUCUGUUGGAUCAUGGGCUUAGCGCGUAACGCGCGCUCAGCGCACGUAUUGGACUGGGCCUGCUUCAGAUUUUCUUCUUUUCUUCAAUUUUUCUAGCCUUUUUGCUUGUUAUACCUUCAGUUUUUAUAUCUGCAGCCAAAAUUCAACAAAACAUCAAUUCUUUAAUAUUUAAGCGCAAAUAACUGCUAAAUAAUUAUUUUUAAAGACAAUUUUGCCUUAUUUUCUAUCAUCAAAAUACAAUUAUUUAGCAGUUAUCAGUUCGUGCUUAUAUAUCUGUUUUAUUCCCCUGUAAGAGUGCUGAUUUUCUUUUAAUUCUGUUGGCUGAUCAAUGCUCAUGUAUAUGUUUCUAAACUUGAAAGUAACGUGAUAUCCAUUCUUCACCUUAAAUUUGUAAGAGAAUAAUUUUCGUUGAUGUAUAUUUCUUUUGCCAGCUCUCCGUCAUUUUCGUUGAUGUAUAUUUCUUUUGCCAGCUUUUGAUAUAAAUUUUGUCAUAAUUGAACAAGAUUGAAUCAUUUAGAUAGAUAGAUAAUAGCAACAUAUUAUUUAGUAUCGUUCAUUUUCUUAAAAGAAAACUUGUGUAUACUUGUGAAAUGAAACAACGAAAUAAUAGUUGGUUCACUUUGAUUGUUUAAAAAAAAAAAAACUACAUGAAAUGAAUUACAUUAUGAGAAAGAACACAUACCUAAAAAAAGAGUAAAGUGAAAUUAAGUAGCUCAUUCAUGCCAUUAAGUAAAUUAUAAUAAUUUUUCUUAACUUAAGAACAAAUGCUACAAAUAAAUGUUGAGUUUAGAGACGAAACCAAUACCAAGUUGAAUAUGUUGGGGAGGAUUCUGCUGAACUCUCUCUUGACGUGAUUAAUGAAGUUUUUCUCUAUUUAUCAUUAUCCUAAUGUUCUUUGCACCGUCAAAUUUACUUUAACUGUGAUCUCUCACAUAAAAGAGCCUAAUCCUCCUAAUUUCAUUCUUGAUUCCUCAAUGAAUUCCGUCUAAGUGGGCCACAUUACAAAUUAGAUGCAAAUUAUACUAGAUUAGUUCACACUAUUCUUAGAAAUGAAGACUUCUAGAUGUUCUACCAAGUUCUAAGGACUAAAAGAAUUUCCCAACACUUCAAUCCUAACAAAGCAUAUAAAUGGAUAAUCAAGCCACAAAUAUUAAAGACAACCACAGAUAGAAGUAGAUAACACUAGCAAAUAAUAUUAAAUAGAUAGUUAGAGUUUUUGCAUCAAGAGUGUUGAGUGAAAAACUCUCCAACAAUGAAGUGUUUAGCCCUUCAUUAGCAUGGAGAGCUCAGUACAAGGCUAAAAAUAAGGUAGAAAUGGAAUGGUGAAGUAAAGAUAUGGAGAAAGCCGCUUGCUUUUCUUCCUUCAGCCUUGGUGCUCUGUUUUCGUCUCACCCACGCUGCAUGUGUUGUUUGGCUUCCCCCUCUCUUCCAGCUUUAAAGGCUUUUGGGCUUCUCAAAUUAUGAAUGUGCGUUUAGCGAGCAUGUCUCGCUGAGUGAGAGUUCGUGACUGGGUGCUUAGCGGAUGUGGAUGCGCUAAGCACGAGAAACGACAAAGGCAGUUACUGGGCAAGCUGGCUGCAGCUAAGCACAAUGCUCUUUGAAUUUACAUUCUCUAAGAGUUUUCUCUCACUGGGUGAGUUGGCUUCCUCGCUAAACAGAUUAGGCUCGCUUAGCUAAUCGCUAAACAAGCUCUUCAGCAUGCACUUCCAAAUCUUGCUUCCUUAAACCUGAAAAUCCAAAUGAUAAUAAUAUCAAUCAUCAAAAUGAAGCCUCCACCGUAUAAAACUCACACAAAAUCAAUUAUAUACAAAUCUCACGCAAGAAACCAUAAUACUAAUUAGAGUUACAUUGCCACUUUUCAUCUACUUUUCAAUACAUUUGGUACUCUUGAAUAACAAUUAUCAAUUUAUUUCUUUGGCUACUUCCUAUCCUUAUUUAUGCCACGUUUUUAAUUUCCAUUCAUAAAUUUAAAAACAACAAGCUAUCAGCCAUCCUAAGACAAUCCUUAUGCAGAAAAUGAAGAAGACAUUAUCUAGCUUAAAGAUAUUUGAUCCAAUAAAUUACACUAGUUAUUCUUGAGAUUUUGUGAAAUUUCACAAACUUUUCAUACUUUUUUUACCCCUACACUAACCCCUUAAUUAUUUCGAAAACAUUAUUCCGAUACCUUUUAUACAUUAUACUAAUCCACCUUAAUUGUUUGAAGAACAUUACACUGUGUUCGCUUAUAAAGAAAGUAGUUGUAAAUGUUAAAAAAACAAGAAAGACUUGUGCAAUUUCACGAAAUCUCAAAAAAUAUAUAUUGGUGUAAUUUAUUAUAUAUACUUGAUUUAAUUAAUUUAGAGAGGCAUAUAGAAGUAGAAGUAAACAGAAAUCUAUUUAUAUGCCCAACUCAAACUCAAUAAGAAUCCUAGGUAGGCAUUCUGCUUACAAGUAUGCAAAAUUUAACUUUCUCAACUGCUAUGAACAGUUGAUAUAGAUCAUAUAGGAGUAUGCCAGCUAAAUCCUAAGAAGUACACUUUCAAAAUUUAACUAAUUGAAGUUUUUCUGGUUCCUGAUCAAAUUAUUUAGCAUAACCAGCAGGAACCUGAUCAUCAUAGCAAUUAGAAGGGUAAAAGUUGAACCUGCAAAAGCAAAAAAGUGAAAGAUCUAAAUUUGUAUUGACUGAAAUAUUUAAAAUGGGUAAAUAACCAAUUUCCUAUAUGAAAGUGUAAAACAAUGUUAAUUUAAUUCCUAAAAGUAAUAAAAUGAAGGAAAGAAGAAAUCUCCUUACCGUAUCACUUUAGUUCCUAAACUUAAUACUUAUUGUCAUUUAAUCCAUGAAGCUAUGCUUAUAUUUUUAAGUCACACAACAUUUAGAAUUUUUGGACUAAAAUUGAAAUAUAUUAUUAAAUAAAUAUACAAAUAUAUUAUUAUAUUGUUUUAUAGUAGAACUUGUAAGGGAAAAUCUAAAACUAAACAAAAAGUAUAUUAAACAAUUUUUUUUUACUUUCUUUUAAUUACAAUGUAUAUAUAAGAUAUCUGUUGGUUUAUGUAAUUUUGAAAUCUAACUAUAAAAAUAUACAGCAAGAUAAAACUUGAAAGGUUAUAUAUAGAAAAUGCAUAAAGUCGUGAAAGAUGAAUAUAAAUGAGUCAAAAGUACAUGACGAAGAUAGGGUAAACACCGGUCAGUUGGGUUAAGUGAAUUUUUGACAACUGAAACCAAAAUAAUAAAAUAAAAAACAUGAAAAAAAUAAGAAAAAAGCUAUGGAAUUGCGUUUCCCAAAGGCUAUGGUUUGUAGCAACGAUGGGCUUUCUGAUGCAGAACUGCUGAGAUAAGGAUCAUCAAAUCGAAUAUCUUCCUCCAUACUGCUUUCUUUGAAUAUAUGGAUUCCACUUGCCUUAAUGAUUGAGCUCUCUAAGUCUAAGACACCUUCUUCUCUCUUUUCUUUUUCAUAGGCUAACACACUUUGAUAUCUAACCUCCACAUGGUUCCAUUCCUUUUCCCUAGCCAUUUCUUCAAACCGAUUAUUAUUUAUGAAAGCAGACGCUUGGAGAUCAAAGAUAUAUGUAUGAUCCAAGUUCAACCUACUUUUUAUCUCGUGUCUUCCAAAAUAGGGCCGAAUUUCUUGAAAUUUGCCAUUGAUGAACACCUUUGGAUUAAGGACAACAAUCCCAGUAGACACAGGUGCAAUAAGAAGACAAAGAAGUUUGGCAGGGAAUUUAUUACGAAACCAGAAAGAACUUGAAGGUCCACUGCUUUGCUGAUCGAACCACUCUGGUAUACUUGUUCCUGUAAACAUAAAAUUGGUUCCUCCAGCCUCAUGCAGUUUCUGUUAGUCAUCAUUCAUAAAGAAAUCAUAAGUUUAACAACAUUAGGUGCACUAUGCAUCAUCAAAUCCUGUACAGUAACAAAAAAGACAAUACCUGAUUUAAAAGCAUGUUUUUACUCGAGGAAGUCAAGGAUGCACAGUUUCUUGCAUCGAAAUACUCUAAGUUUGGUGGAAGACCUCUAAUUUCCUGAAGAUGCUCGCAAUCACUCACCAUAAGUGAUCUUAAUAAUUGCAAUUCUUUGAAGAAUUCAGGAAGGAUUGUGAAAUUAUUCCCCGACAGAUUUAAAUGUCCUACACGAGCAAAGGUCUUGAAACCUGUUAAAAAAAAAUCAUCACAUAGAUUGCAAUCCUUGGCCGAAAACCGAUGUGCCUUUGAAGAUGGUAUUGAGCCCACUUUUUUUUCACCUUCUUCCGAUUCUACCCAUUGCCACCUGUUGCAAUAUUCCAUAUGGAAUUCAAACAGUUCGGGCAUCAUCGCUAAGCUACAUGGUAACUUAACAAUUCCACAGCUCCUCAGGGUUAACCAACGGAGUCCAAUAAGAUUUUGAAAUGAAAAUGACAAUUCUUUUAUGGGAAGGCCAUACAAAAAAAGAUGCUUUAUGUUUUCCAUCUCUCCUAUUAUUUCUGGAAAAUAUUCAAGACUGGAACAUUGAGAAAGUUCAAGUGUUUGAAGAGAGGUCAAGUUGAGAGGCGGAAAACUCUUAAGCUUGCUGCAACCAUACGCACUCAAUUUUUUAAGUUUAUUCAGAAAACCAAUUGAGUCAUCAACUGCAACUAAACUCUCACACUCUUCAAAUGAAAGUUCCCUCAAAUUUGGGAGAUCAGAUACAUCAGGUAUCUGUGUUAAAAAUUUGCAGUUGUCAAACUUCAAAACUGUUAGAUGCCCGAACUUCUGCAAAGGAAAAAAAAAAAUAAAAUAAAUAAGAACCAAAUGAAUAAAUUUAAAGUGACUUUAUUAAUUCACGGGAUUCAGGAAACAGUCUCUUUGCAUAUGCAAGGGUAAGGCUGCGUACAACAUCUCUCCCCCAUACCUUCGCAUAGCGAAGAGCCUGUGGGCUACGAAGUUUAUUAAUUCACGGGAUGAGGAAAAUAUACUCUUUAAACUUGCCUUCGAUGGGCCAUGGAACUCAAACGACGUCAUACAACUGUCAGGUAACUUGCAUAUAACAAGAUUGUUCGGAUGAAAGUUAGAUGGUAAACAAUUUGAAGGAUAUCUGUGCCAUUCCAGUACUCUCAAACCUUCUGGAAAAUAAUUGGGACCUUUGGAAAAUUUGUCAUUUCUAAUAAUAAGUAUUUUAAGGUUUUCCAUCUUCAUGAAGGCGUUUUCAUUCCAUUCCACUGUUUCUUCUUUGUCAGAUAUGGAGGAAUCCAGGCAUAUGAUUUCAAUUUUACUAGUUCCCUGUUAAUACAAAAAGGCACGAAUCAACCACAAUACAACUUGUGUGAAAUAUCAAUUGACUCGCUUAGAGAAAUUACAAAUUAUCAAGAAAAAGAUAACUACAAUGUAACUUUGAGAUAGAAAAAAAAACAAAAAUCAACUAUUCAUGAGUUCACUCACGGUGUUGUCUUUAAAAACUUGAAUUAUAUCUUUUGGUAACCAUAAUCUCUUGCACUUCCCUGGCUCUUGUGGUGAUCUCUUCCGCUCAAUUUCUCUAGCCAUGUCCUGAAUCAAGUCGUGCAUUUCAACAGUAUCAGUACCAUAACAGUUAAGCUUUAUGAGAGAUUUUUCAACCAACACCCCAAUAUGAUGCUUCUUGCAGUUACCAUAAAGAGCACGGAGUAUAUCAUCAACCUCUGUCCAUUUAUACCCUCUGAAGCAACAAGCAAUGUCAAGAAAAACAUUCUUUUGUUCUUCCCCCAAAGCAUCAAAGCUUACUUUCAGAAUCUCUAGGAUUUCAUCACUGGGAAUUCUUUUAUAAUGUUCCAUAGCAGAUUCCCAUUCUGCUACAGUCUUUCCAAACAAGUUGGAACCUAUGACUUCCAAAGCCAAUGGAAGGCCAGAAGCAUAAGUUACUACACGAUUCAAGACGUCCUCAUAACUUGGAUCAAUUUUUUCUCUUUUAAAAGCAUUCCACUUAAGCAAUUGAAGAGCAGCACUCUGAUUUAAAACCUUCACCUCAUAGGUUCUUUCAACCUCAUGAUAUUUUAGCAGAUGUUUGUCCCGAGUGGUAAUGAUGACUCUGCUACCGGGACCAAACCAAUCAGGUCUUCCAACAAUAGCCUUUAAUUGCUCGCGCUUAUCAACAUCGUCUAAAAUCAAGAGAACCUUCUUUCGUUGGAGCCUAUGUUGUAUCAUUGAAGCUCCUUCUUGCCAACUUGUUAAGGUGAUGUCCUUCUCCCCAAGUAAUUUUGAAAGAAGGAUGCUUUGAAGGUGUUUUAACCCAUGUUUAUUUGAUUCUUCUCUCACAUUUUGAAGAAAACAGGAUUCAUCAAAAUGGAGAGCAAUCAAAUUAUAAACUGCCAGAGCAAGUGUUGUUUUUCCUAACCCGCCCAUUCCAUGGAUCCCUAUAAUGUGGACAACAUCAUGGGAUCCAACAUCCAAAAGCUUCCUUACCUCUAUCACUUGUGACCCUAGACCAACUGGAUAAUCCGCAACAUGUAAAGGAGCACGAUUAAUCUCCCUAGAAACCUGCUCAACAAUACUCUGGAUAAACUUGUAUUCAUAUGCAUCUCUGUUUCAAACAAACAAAAAAAGUUCUGAUGAAGUCAGCCAAAAAGGCUUGCAUCCAUGUAUAUUAAUUGUCAAGGUUAACAAGAGAAUUUCUUUUCUAUUUAAAUUUUACUAGUUAAAUCAAUAGACAAGUAAAACCUAAUCCAAUAAAAAUUAUAAAGUAAAAUAUAUUAGUAUGAUUGUAUACCCAUCUUUGAAAUGAUAUCCACACAAGUCAGCUACUUGUUUCAAAGCGAUCCUCCAUUUCUGCAGCUUCUCCUUCUUAGCUUUGAACCUCUUCUGAUGCUUAGCCAUUUCUACUCCAUAACUACCUUUCUGGUGUCUGACAUCAGAAGGAUCUACGUUGUAAAAGACCGGUAUAACCAACAGCCCUUCACUCUUGCAGUGAAGGAUGGUUACAAGUUCAUCUAAACAAAAUGAGGAAGAAGCAUAGUUUUUAGAAAGCACAGUAAUAGCAAUCCUGGACUCUUGAAUUGCCUUCAAAAGUGCAGGUGUUAUUUCCUCUCCUCUGUGAAGCUUCUUUUCGUCAAAGAAGGUAUGAAUUCCCUUGUCACAAAGAGCCCUGUACAGAUUGCCAGUGAAACCAUAGCGUGUGUCUCCCCCUCUGAAGUUUAGGAACACAUCGUAGAUGGAUGCACGGGAACGUGUUGUUGCAGCCAUUAUUUGAUGAAAAAAGUUUAGUAUGAUAAUGGUUGAUAUGGAGGGAGUGUAGAAUCAAACUUGAACAAACAUGAAAAUGAAAGUAUACCAAAUGUUAUAAAAGUCAAGCCAAGCUCUUAUAAAGAAAGAUGCUCUCACUUUUUUUUCAUUUUAAAACCUACUUUUUAUAAUCAAAUUAUUACAAAUAAACAAUAAAAGUAUUUUUAAUAAUGGGUACUGUAUUUCAAAUAAUUAACUGGUGGUACUACUAAUUCUCCCGCCCCAAAAGGAAUUGUUAAUUAGAGAAUCAAAAUAUAUAUUAACUAAUAAGUAAUCUGAUAAUUUUUAAUCACAAGAGCUUCAAAAUUUAUAUAUAUAUAUAUAUAUAUAUAUAUAUAUAAAUUUCUCAUUGAAAGAGUUUUAUAAUUAUCUUGAUAAUUUUGCUGAAGACACCCACGCAUAAGAUGUUUUACUUUAAGUCAGAUGUAUUUCUUCGAAAAGUAAUAGAAGUUAAUUUUGUAUAAUAAAAAUCAUGUGAAAAUAUGAAAAAUGUUAACCAAUAAUUUAGGACAUUAAUUGAUUAAAAAAUAAAAAAAAUGAAAAAUAUCAAAUACGAUAUACUUUUUUUUGUAAUUUUCAAUGAAACUUAUUAUUUUCGUAACGCAAUUUUAAUUUUGGUGGGUCAAAUUAGAUUUUACAUAUUUUAUUUUUAUCUUUACUUCCCAAUUUAUAAUAAAUUUUUAAUCAAAUUUAAAGAUUAAUACACUGAAUAAGUGGUUUGCCAAACUGCUUGUUUUUUUUUUUUUAGCAAGAAGGCAUUCCUGAUACUCUUCUUGAUGCAUAUUAAUAGUAUUCUUUACGUCAUCAAAAAUAAAAUAUACUGAAUAAUAUUUUUCAAUUUAUCUUUCAUUGUAUUCAAACUUCUUUCUCAUUAUAGCCGACUUUUCUACGCAUGAAUAUUGCCAUCCUAAAAAAGGAAUAAUAUUCAUAUUCGUUUUAAUUUUAAAUUAAACAGCCGCGUUUCAUUUGCUUCUCUGACUAAAAGGCAGAAAAACAAACGUGUAGACCUUAAAAUAUUGAUGACUUAUAAAAUAUUUAAAAAAUAAAAAAAGGCUGAGAUAACAUUUAUGAGAAAAUAAAAAUGUGUUAAAAACUCAAUUUAGGUGGCUGAACAUGUAUGAAAAAUAUAUAUUGAGAGAAUUAAUAUUUAUAAAAGUCUAAAUAAAACUUGUGAAUUUAUUUAAAAAUAGAUUUUAUGUCAUUAAGUUGUUGGUACAAAAUAAUUUUAGUUACCUUUGUCAAAAAAUUUAGUUAAUCAUUUUUAAUAAGAACUGACAUUUUAAUUAUAUUUUUUUAUCUAUAAAUUAAAAUUUGAAAUUGAGAUUUUAUUUAAGGAGUUCUAGUCAACUUUUGCUUGAACAAAUCACAUUAUUUGAUGAAAAUAAUUUAAUUAUUAAAGGUGGAAAGAAACAAAAAAUAUAAAAAUAAAAUUAUUAUAAAAUAUUUAAAAGUAAAUAAAUAAUGUCUAUUAACAUAAUCUAUUGAAAAGAAGAUACAAUUAGUAAAAAAAAAAAAAAAAAAAGAGCCAAAUAGGGAUGGCAAGGUCUUCUCCAUAUUAGAAAAUCAAUCUGGGAUAAGACAGAGUAUAUUACCUUUUUUAUCUUCUAUAUGUGCUAACAAAACAUCAACAGCAAAAAUAUAGAAUAGCUUAUAAUGAUUUAUAUCCUCUAAACGUCUCUUUAUUUAACUUGUCCAUCAGUAGAAUCAUCAUUUUCAAUUAUUGACACACACACACGGCUUACAAAUCAGAAUAAGGUACAACAUCCAUUCCGCUGAAUAAACAUAGAAUUAAUACAAAUUAACCUAUAUACAAAUAGAUUGCGACAUAUAUACUCGCUUAUAUUUUUAAAAAAUAACAUGCAAAGCUCUCAUAGCCUCUUAACUGGUGCCAUACUUAGCCUUGUAGUCUUGCCAAAGCUGAUAAACUGCUUUUCCCAGUAACUGAACAAAGAGUUGAUCACUGUAACCAUCCCUCAUCUGCUAAUAGUCAAGAAAAUGAGCAGUAACAUCAUAACCCUGGUCCCAUUUCACUGAACUAAAGAUUUAUACCAAUGAAUCACACAAGGAAAUUUAACACUACAUUUUAAUUCAAAACUUCAAAGAUUAGGUUUAUGAAUCUUUUACUCAUUUUAUAUGUUUUUUUUCUCACUUCUAUGAGAUUUGGAAUUGCACCUCAUACUUACUCCAAUACAACAGAAGGUGAGAAGUAAGCCAUUUGGCGCCAGAAUAGACUAGCUAGACAACUUCCAUUUGAUUGGUUUUGGUAAAUAGUCAAAAUCAAAAAUAGAUAUGAUCAGCCUGCAUUUUAUUCUGGUUGACUAUUUGAACUUAGGCCAACGGACAAUGUUGUUUCAAUCUAGCUACUCUCGUGAAUGGGAUAAAAAUCAAGUGAAGUUAUUUCGGGGCUACAUAUUAUAUAUUUAUAUAUAUAUCAUACCACAUAUCUCUAGACGCCCAUCUUGCCGCGUCUAGUGUCAAUCUUCCAUGACCAUGUCCACUUUCUCCCUCGAAAGCACGGAACUGAGAAAUUAAGAUAAUAUGAUACAUUAAGGGAUGUUUGGUAGAAGAGAAAUACUUUCAUAAAUUUUGGGACUCAUAUUUUGUAGAAAUGAAUAAAAUUUAUUUGGAUGAUUUUUAAAAUAUUAUAUAAUUUUUUUAGAAAUCAAAGAAUUAUAUAUAUUUUUAUCGAUUAUUUUAAUUAUUUAUCACAUUAUAUAAUUUAAUAUAACAUAACAAGAUAUUUUUAUCAUAAUAAAAAAAUUAAACUUGAAGAAAAAGUAAAAUUCUCACUUUUUGUUAUUGGAGAAUUUUCGUGAGAAACUAAUUAAAAAAUAUUUUUAGAAAACAUUAUUUAGGAAUGCAAUUUUUUAAAAAAUGUAUACUAAAAUGAGAAAUUAAGUUUUUCAUCUUAUGAUUAUCAGAAAAUUAAAAAUUUAUCUUCUACCAAAUACUAAAAAAAAAUGAUCCGUACUUAUUACUACUUACAAACAUUUUUACUUAUGGAACCGCGGACAUGAUUAUUUUAGGUAAAACUGGAAAAAAAAAACUUCCACCAACAAUUAUUUGAUAUAGUUAGGUAAACUCUUGACAAACCCUUUCAUGUAAAUGGCGUUACCUUUGCUCUUAAACACAAUUGUCUUGUUUCUUUGGAAAUAUUUCUACUAUGCUCUUUUAGACCAUGGGGAAAAUACUGACUUUGUAUGCUUAAUUGUUUGGAAAAUUUUAGGUGUUAAUGCUAUAAAAUGACAACUAGUUGGGUGCAGUAGGAAUUGAUGGAAAUUCUGUUCUUAGUUAAAGAAAAGUAGCACUUGAGUAGUGACAUUCUUUAAAAAUAAAAAUAUGUAGACAAUUGUUUGUGUUCUGAAAUCAACAGAGUUUUUGAUAAAUAGUAACAGUUUUUAUAUUAAUCCAGCAGGAGCACGACCAUCCCCAUUCCACUGCCAAACGUGCACCAUUUCAUGGUACAGCACACUUGUUAUCUCUGUUUUCACGUCCCCUUUUAUUGUUUCCAUGCAUGUCAUCAACGAAUAAGCUUACCUUCUGCACAUUUUUUCUGUCAGAAGGGUUGCUUUGCUGAAAGAUCCUCCAUAUGAAUUGGGUGGCGGAGUCAAGUGUUGGCUUGGCGUAUUCAGCUCCUAUUAAAAGAGGCAAAGGGUGGGGUCAAUCUUAUUAGGCUCAGGUUUAAAUUUAAUAGAAUUAUUAUGAAUAAUAAUUUUUUUAAAGUAUUUAAUGUAAUUAUAUUUAGAAUUAGAAUAUAAAACAUCAUAAGCUGGAACAAUUAUAAAAUAAAUUUUUAGUACCUAGAAGUUUAUUACUCGAAUUUUUAAAUUUUAGAAUGUAAAAGUUAAAAUUUUAACCUUGUUUUUAUCAUAAAUAAUACCAGAAUAAGAUUAAAAAACAAGAUUAAAAAGUAAAAUGAAAUAAAUAAUGCAAAUUUAAUUUUUUUUAGCAUAGGUGGAGCGGUAAAGUUGUGCCUUGGUGACUUGUUGGUCAUGGGUUCGAGUUUGCAUAUGUAAGGGUAAGGCUGCGUACAACAUCCCUCCCUCAUACCUUCGCAUAGCGAAGAGCCUCUCGGCAAUAAGAUACGAAGUUUUUUUAUAACGAAUUGCUAAGAAUGCAAAACGUGAUUUUUGGAUGCAUGAACUGGAUUCGAAGGUGACUCUUUAGUGUAAAGUUUUGGGCUAUCUAAUACAUAAAUUAUAAUAAAAAAUAAUAACACUCGAUUAUAUGUUAUCUGAAGAAGUUUAUUUACUAUUUUUUAAAUUUAUUUUUUAGCUUCAAUUUAAUCUUCUUAUUUUUAAAAAGUGUGAUUUAGUUUUUUAAUUUAGUGUAUUUAUUUUUAAAGGUUUCAAUUAAUUACUUUAUUUUUUAAAAAAUAGAUUCACUUCUGAUUCCAUUUAAAAUCAAGAUUGGUUUCAUUUUUUGGAAAUGUUGGAAGGUGGCGGAAAGAAAAAGCAACCAAAUUAAACGUGUUUUUAAAAAAUAAAGGACAUGAUUAAACUUUUAUAAAAAAAAAAAAUAGAGGAAUCAAAUUAAAUUUAAAUAAAACUCUCCAUUCCACUAUUGGAACUUGUAAUAGCAGGCCAUUAAGAGCUGAUACAAUAUUGACAUUGAAAGACAUUGCCAUAUAUAAAAUCGCGUAUUCUUUAAACUAAAAGCUAUUAUUUAGCAUCUUAGGCUAUAUUGCCAUACAUGGCCUUAUAGUCUCGCCAGAGAUGAUUAACUGGUUUUGCCAGUAACAGAAAGAAGAACUCAUCGCUAUAAUCAGUCCUCAUCCACUGGUUAAGUUGACCCACAAACCCACUUUUGAGAGAAUCACAAUAAUCCAAAAAAUGAGCAGUAAUUUCAUAACCCUCAUUCCAUUUCUGUCCUUGCCCUGGUUUUCUCCAAUGACUGGCUGCAUAGUUUGCCUUCAGCCUCACAAAAUCUGCAAUACCUCCAGUUAAUCCACCAGGAGCCUUGCCAUUCCCCUUCCACUGCCAAACGUAGCAAACUUGAUGAAACAGCACCCCUGUGAUCUCUCUUUUCACAUCCCCACCACUAUACCCAUUAACAUAUCUUGCACUCACGUGAAUCUCGUUCUUCCUAGUGUAUGCAAUCCCGUCCAUGUCAUCCACGAAUAAGCUCACCUUCUGCACGCUUUUUCUGUCAGAAGGGUUGUUUUGCUGAAAGAUCUCCCAUAUGAAUUGGGUGGCCGAGUCAAGUGUUUGGUUUGCGUAUUCAGCUCCUAUUUUGUCACGGAAUCUCACACCACCGAGGGUUGUCAGUGCAUUGUUUAUUACUGUGAACGUAUAUCCCUGUCUUUCCCGUAUUGUAACAUCAAAGCUUAGUUUUGGACUCUCUAGGAUUUCAUCCCUGGGAAUUGUUUUGUAAUGUUCCACAGCAUAUUCCCAUUCUGCUACUGUUUUACCAAACAAGUUGGAACCUAUGGCUUCCAAAGCCCGUGGAAGGCCUGAAGCAUAAGCUACCACACGAUUCAAGACGUCCUCAUAACAUGGAUCAAUUUUUUCACUUUUGAAAGCAUUCCACGUAAGCAAUUGAAGAGCAGCAUUCUGAUUCAAAACCUUCACCUCAUAAGUUCUUUCAACGCCAUGAUAUUUUAGCAGAUGUUUGUCCCGAGUGGUAAUGAUGACUCUGCUACCGGGACCAAAGCAAUUAGGGCUUCCAACAAUAGCCUUUAAUUGCUCUUGCUCGUCAGCGUCGUCUAAAAUCAAGAGAACCUUCUUUUGUCGGAGCCUACGUUGUAUCAUUGAAGCUCCAUCUUGCCAACUUGUUAAGGUGAUGUCCUUCUCACCAAGUAAUUUUAAAAGAAGGAUGCUUUGGAGGUGUUUUAACCCAUGUUUAUUUGAUUCUUCUCUCACGUUUUGAAGAAAACAUGAUUCGUCAAAAUGGAGAGCAAUCAAAUUAUAAACAGCUAGAGCAAGGGUUGUUUUUCCUAACCCACGCAUCCCAUGUAUCCCUAUGAUGUGGACAACAUCAUCGGAUCCUACAUCCAAAAGCUUCCUUACCUCUAUCACUUGUGACUCUAAAUCAACUGGAUAAUCCGCAACAUGUAAAGAAGCAUGAUUGAUCUUCCUAGAGACCUCCUCCACAAUAUUCCCAAUAAACUUGUAUUCAUAUGAAUCUCUGUUUCAAACAAACAAAAAAAGUUCUAAUGAAGUCAACCCAAAAGCCUUGCAUCCAUGUCUUGGUAGGUAUAUUAAUUGUCAAGGUUAACAAGAGCAUUUCUUUUCUAUUUAAAUUUUACUGCUUAAAUCAAAGACAAGUAAAACCUAAUCCUAUAAAAACCAUAAAGUAAAAUAUAUUAGUAUGAUUGUAUACCCAUCUUUGAAAUGAUAGCCAGACAAGUCAGCUACUUGUUGCAAAGCCAUCCUCCAUUCCCGCAGCUUCUCCAUCUUAGAUUCGAACCUUUUCUGAUGCUUAGUCAUUGUUUCUCCAUAACUACCUUUUUGGUGUCUGACAUCAGAAGGAUCUACUUUGUAAAAGACCGGUAUAACCAACAGCCCUUCACUCUUGCAGUGAAGGAUGGUUACAAGUUCAUCUAAACAAAAUGAGGAAAAAGCAUAGUUUUCAGAAAGCACAGUAAUAGCAAUCCUGGACUCGUUAAUUGCGUUGGAGAGUGCAGGUGUUAUUUUGUCUCCUCUCGGAAGCUCCUGAUCAUCAAUGAAAGUGUAGAUUCCCCUGUCACCAAGAGCUUUGUAGAGGUUGCCAGUGAAACCAUUGCGUGUGUCUAAACCUCUGAAGCUGAGGAACACAUCGUAGAUGGAUGCAAGGGAACGUGUUGUCGCAGCCAUUAUCAGAAUAAAAAAAUUUUAGUAUGGUAAUGGUUGAUAUGAUAGGAGUGUAGAAUCAAACUUGAACAAAUAUGAAGAUGAAAGUAUACCAAAUGUUAUAAAAGUCAAGUCAAGCUCUUGUUAUCCAUCAAUAAAUUUAGUAUGGAAAUGGUUGAUAUGAUAGGAGUGUAGAAUCAAACUUGAACAAUUAUAAAGAUGAAAGUAUAGCAAAUGUUAUAAAAGUCAGUAAGCUCUUAUUAUCCAUCAAUAAAUUUAAUAAAUAUUUUAUAUUAAUGUCACGAUAAAGAAUAUCUUUAAUAUAAACUUAAUUCCUAAUUAACUACCUACAAGUUAUGAGACUAGUUGUAAAAAAAUUAUAUUUUAUAAUCAGAUCAUUUACAAACUAAGCAUUUUCUUUUGUAGAAGUAUAAAAUUAUUUUUAAUAUUUGCUAAUGUAUUUAAAAUAAUUAACUGGUGGUACUAAAUUUCAAUUUCUCCCCGUCCCCCAUUAAAAUUGUUAGACGUAAAAAAUUAGUAAAUUUCACAAAUUCUGUGAGCUGCGAUCAAUGUGCAAGAGCACAUUCUUUCAACUCCAAGUUCAAGGCUAUAUUCGGAAAUUUAGCUCUCAAAAAGGAAACCAAAUUCAAAAUUAUGAUUCAUUUAACUUUCCAUAGGAUGAGAACUAGAUGUUUGUUCCAAAGCAAAGGACGUUUAGAUAAAUAAAUCUAAGUUGGUGGAAAUUAAUUUAAAACUGAAUUACAAUUUUAGUUUUCAAACAAUAUUUUCAGAUCGAAUUCAAUUUUUACAUCCUAUUAAUAUAAAAAAAUUAUCCUACCAAUUCAUCAGAAAUAAAAGUAGACGUGACUUGUGAAGUGGUUAAUAUUUCAAUAAUUAAUUAUAUACAUAUUUAAUUAUUAUUAUUAUAAUUAAUUAUAGAAAUAAGUUUUGUAUCUAAAAUUGUUAAAUAAAAUACUACUUUAAAAUAAUUUAUUUUAUUUAAAUAGUUUUAAAAAUACUUUUAGUAUGAAAUUUUUUAUUAUAAAUAUAAAUUUAUUAGUUCCUGAUAACAAAAAACGGUUAUUAAUUCCUUUUUAAAAAACAUAAAGUUAUUAAUCACCUACUAUUGUGACCAUAAAAUUUCUGAUAACAAAUCACAUGUGCCCAUGCCAAGUUGCCAACUCCAAUCCAACCAUUGUUCUUUAGGUCAAAGUCCAAGAACAUGAGCUGAAUGGGUUACCAAUUUAAAAAUAACGCAUCCCCCCUCUGAAUGUGAGAUAUACCACUUGUUACUUUGGUCUCCUGGCGUCAUUGUCAAGAUGUUUUCAAACUCAACACUGAUUGAAGCUCCUUGGGGAAUCAGUCCUGAUCCUUUGGGUUAGGUUGACAUUUUCAGUGAUUUCUCUUGGGAAAUGGUUGGUUUGCUUUUCUGGUUUGUGUACAUGUUGCUAUGCAAACAUUGAUGCUUAACUCUUUGCCAUCUUUCAUGAUCUCAAUGUAGCUCCGAGCUCCGGUUAUUGUUAUUGGCAUUGGCAUUAAUUACAUACUUAUGACAUUCUUUAUCUCAACAUUAUUAUAAAUAAAUAAAACAUAAAAAUAUUGAUCAUCAAAUUUAUGCAGUUAAAAGAUUCACAUUUAUUUUAGUAUUAUCAAAUAAGACUUAUUAAAAAAUAAUCAUCUCAAAAUAAGGCCGUCAAAAUUUACAAAAAAUAUUUUUUUAAAUUAAUGAGGUAAAAUAAUCGCCUACAUGCAAUGUGGUGUCAUGUAAGUAAAAAACCACUCUGAGACAUUUAGGAAUACAUAACAAGACACACCACACAAUGAGUAUGUUAGGUCACUAUCACUAAGUAAAAUCAUAAGGUGACCAGCCAGUGUUACUCUGUUUUGCGAGAAUAUUCCAACCAUAUGAGAUCAAUUUAAACUUAAAGAAGUACUCAAAUCGAAUGGUUUUACCCUCAAGGUCUAGACUCCCAAGAAUCCGUUAGGGUCUCACCUUCCUAAUUCAGGUCCAACCCUUCAAACAAUUUUUGCAAGCAGAUACUGCUCAUGAAUUAUAUAAUACCCAUGAACUCACACUUGUGUUUUAAACACGUUUAACAUAUUGCGCUACAAUUUAACACUAAUUCCUAACUAGAAAACCUACUUUCUCCCUUUAACAUUGUGCAUCAAUAUUUUUCUCAAGAUAAACACUGGUCGGGUAAUUGUAUAAUUCACAACUCAAAACACAAGUAAUGUCACAUCAAGUGUUAACCACACACUUAUGCACAACUAACACAACUAAAACUUAUGUUUACAACUUCACAUCUCAUUAUGUCACAAUCAACCAUCUCAUGUUUAUAUGUAUCUCGCAAUUUAACACAUUCAACUUUACACUUAUACUCAAUCCCCAUAACAAUAUAAUAAUUUCAAAGUAAUAUAUUAUUCUACAACUCAUCAUAUACUCAAUUUAUCAAUUAUAUACAAUUUUAAUUACAAUUUCAUAAUUUUGAUAUAACUAUUUGGUACACUAAUCUUAUUCAAAAAACAAAUAAAUUAUACAAAAAUAUUUCUCAAUUCACGGGGAGUAAAUUAUACAAAUAAAUUAUACAAAAAUAUUUAAAAAAACUAUAUUUAUUUUAUUUUAUAAAUAAGUACAAAAAUGUCACAAUAUUUUUCUCUAUUUUUAAAUAUUUAUGAAAAUGAAAAGUAAGAUAUAAUAUGUAAAGCAUAUAUUGCUAUUUUGGACUUUUUUUGGGGGGAUGUUGUUACCAUGACUAUCCACUUUCUCCCUCGAAAGACAAGGCAUCCAAUUUUAAUAUGAUACAUUAAGGGAUGUUUGGUAGAAGAAAAAUACUUUCUGUUAUGGUUCGCGUCAGGGAUGGGGUAGAGGAAGGAGAUGAAAACGCAGAAUGUUCACAAGCCCUUAUUCGAGAAAGGGGAAAACUCCUUUAUUUCUUGAAGGAUAAUGUUCUUACAUUCUACGAUUAUACAUGUUCAGUAUUUAAAGUGAUUCUACGUAACUGCCUAACAAAUUCAGUUACGUCUAACGGUAUCGGGUUCGAGUAGAAUACGUGGUCCAAGCUUUCGAAAAUUAAGCACGUGUGGUGUAAGCUUGCCCUAACUACCCCUGGUUAUGUUUGGGCCUUUAUGGAGAGCCAUGCAGGUUGGCAACGUGAUAAUCCUUCAGGUGAAAUGGUGCGGACCUGACUCGUGCUGGUCUGAGUCGUGACUGGGCCGAGUCACUAACAAUACCUCCUCCUUCCAAGUCCACCUUGUCCUCAAGGUGGUAAAGCUCGCGUAGGGAGGACCAUGGUUCCCACGAUGUGUCCUCUGGUGGUUCGCCUACCCACUGGGUGAGGACCAGUUGUGUGGGGGGGGGGGGGGUCCGUAGAGUCAUCGAGUUUUGUAUCUAGGAAGCAUAGUGGUCGUCGUAACGGUUCCUUAGAGAGAGUUCCGAGGGUCCAAGUGUCUGUGAGAGGGGGCUGGGGUCCAUGGUGAGCUCGGAGGAGCGAAGAGUGAAAAUCGGGGUGGAUCUGAGAAUGGGGUGGAAGACGCAGGCGGUAAGCCACAGAACCAAUGCGUUCUUCAAUCUGGAAGGGCCCAAAGAAUCGUUUGGAGAGCUUGGGGUGGUGGUGACCGGAAAUGGAGGUUUGACGGCCAGGGCGUAGCCGCACGUAGACCCAUUGUCCGACGGAAAAUGAAACAUCAUCACGCUUAGCAUCAGCAUAGUGUUUCAUUGUAAGUUGGGCCUUUUGUAAUUUCUUCUGAAGCCGGGAGUGUAGAGCUUGUCGUGACUCGAGCAAGGUCUGAGCAGCUUCAUUGUUGGUUGUAUUAGGAAGGUAGUCAUGUGCAACUGGUGGUGGUUUUCCAUAAAUGAUCUCGAACGGUGUUGAGCCUAUGCUGGAGUGCAGAGACGUGUUAUAACACCACUCUGCAAGGGCCAAGUAAUUGAACCAGGCCGUGGUUUGGGAGUGGACAAAGCAUCAGAGGUAUUGCUCGAGAACUCUAUUCAUUACUUCCGUCUGCACGUCCGAUUGGGGGUGAUAGGCCGUGCUGAGACGCAAUUGAGUGCCGGAAAGUCUAAACAGUUCACGCCAAAAGUUGCUUAAGAAAAUUGGAUCGCGAUCGGACACGAUGCUCUUUGGGAAGCCAUGUAAUUUACAGACAAUUUGCAGGACGAGGUUAGCUACUUUGAAGGCAGUGAAACUAGUUGGUAAAGCACCUAAGUGUACCCCUUUAGAGUAUCUAUCUACGACAACAAAUAUGACUGUGAAGCCAUUAGAGGGAGGAAGGUGUGUAAUGAAAUCCAUAGACAGGUCUUCCCAGACCCCCGUAGGUAAUGGCAGUGGCUGCAGAAGGCCUGUCGGGCGCUUGGAGGAGUUCUUAUUUUGUUGGCACACUGAGCACUCCUUGAUGAAGCGACGAACAUCGUGCUUGAGGUUGGUCCAGAAGAAAUUGGAUUGGACUCGAUGGGUUGUCUUCGCAACUCCGAGGUGGCCACCUAACGGGGUUGUGUGGUACUCUGAUAGUAGACUGGGAAUGCAGGGAUUGUUGCUAUUUAACCAUAUUCGACCCUGGAACAAUACGAGAUUGUUGCAGAGGGUAUAGCCAGGGUGGUUUGCUGGGUUGGACUGUAUCGAAUGCAUGAGUUGCUGAAAUUCCGGGAGGGACUCCAAUGACUUUCGAAUGUCAUUGAGGAAGUCCAGCUGGGGAACUGAGAGGAUUAAGAGCUGGCCGGUGGAUGAGGGGGGUCGAGAAAGAGCGUCGGCAACCACGUUGGAAGAUCCAGCUUUAUAUUGUAUGGAGUAAUCAUAACCUAAUAAUUUGGAGAGAUAAUAAUGCUGCUCCGGGGUUUGUAUUAUUUGCGUCAUGAGCUCGCGAAUGCUUUUGUGGUCCGUGAGGAUCGUGAAUGGGCGUCCUAAGAGAUAUUGUCGCCAUUUUCUAACAGCUGCGACAAUGGCAUGGAGUUCACGAAUGUAUGUUGAAGCUUGGGUCAAACAAGGGGUGAGACUCUUGCUGAAAUAUGCCAAAGGAUGUCCACUCUGUGUGAGGACUGCUCCGAUAGCGGUUGCUGAUGCAUCAGUUUCAAUCACGAAGGGAGUGGAGAAGUUGGGUAGGGCUAACACGGGGGCGUUUGUCAUGGCGAAUUUGAGCUGGGAAAAGGCCUCCUGAGAUUCUGAGGUCCAGGUGAAUGCAUCCUUGCAGAGUAAGCUCGUGAGGGGAGCUGCGAUGGUGGCGUACCCCUUUAUAAACUUUCUGUAGAAUCCGGUGAGGCCUAAAAAUGCUCGGAGUUCCUUGGCGGUCCUCGGGUUUGGCCAUUGCACCAUAGCUUGGAUCUUCGAAGGUUCUGGAGUAACUCCCUUGCCGGAAACAACAUGCCCGAGGUAUUCAAUGGUCUCUUGGGCAAACGAGCACUUGGAUUGCUUGAGAUAGAACUCACCAUGCUGUAGAGUUUCGAAGAUAGUUUCCAGAUGUUGAAGGUGAGAUGACAGCGAGCUGCUAUAAACUAGAAUGUCAUCGAAGAACACUGUUACAAAUCUGCGUAAAAAUGGUUGCAACAGGUUGUUCAUGGCCGAUUGAAAGGUGGAUGGGGCAUUGCUGAGCUCGAAGGGCAUAACCAGAUAUUCGAAAUGGCCAUUAUGCGUCCGAAACGCUGUUUUCUCCACAUCUUCUUCGUGCAUCAGGAUUUGGUGAAAUCCUUGCCGGAGAUCGAGCUUGGAGAACUAGGUGGCCUGUCCUAGCUUGUCGAGGAGCUCGUCGAUCGUUGGUAUAGGAAAACGAUCUCGAAUGGUAACUGUGUUGAGCGCCCUGUAGUCCACACACAGUCUCCAUGUGCCGUCUUUCUUCUUAACGAGGAGGACCGGCGAGGAGUAGGGACUGAGACUGGGGCGAAUGAGGCCGGCGGAAAGCAACUCAGAAACUUGUUUCUCAAUUUCAUUCUUUUGGAAGUGUGGGUACCUGUAAGGCCUCACGUUUAUCGGGGCUGUGGAAGGGGCUAAUGUAAUUCGGUGAACCACUUGUCGUGGUGGGGGUAGUCUGGAUGGGGACUGAAAUAGGUGGUUAUAACGGAGAAGAAGGUGCUGGAUGGAGGGAAGAGGGUGUUGGGCCGGGGCGGUUUCGGUUCGGGUAACGGGCUGAACACUCAGUUGGUAAAAGGCCGAGGUGGAGCCGGUUUGAAGGAACUGUUUCAGUUGGGUUGCGGAAACGGGUUCAGGCCCACAUGUAGCGUCUGCUGCUAAAGACACCUCCUGACCCUGGUGUGUAAAGUUCAUGAUACCAGAUGUGUAGUCUGUCGUUAUCGGGCCCAACUUCUUCAGCCAGUCGAUGCCUAGGACCGCAUCAGCUCCAUUGAUUUGCAGGAGGUGGAAUGAUACGAGGAAUUGGUGGCCUUGGACGGUGACUAAUGUCUCUGAGCAAACCUGGUUACAAUCUAAGGUGGAACCGUUGCCCACUAAGACUUGGAGGGACCGAGUUGCUUGGACUGGUAGCUUCAGGAAUUGAGCGAUGCGCGGUUGAAGGAAGUUAUGCGUACUUCUGCUAUCAAUCAAAAUGGUUAACUGCGUGUUCUUGAUGGUGCCAUAGAGCCGAAAGGUGUCUGUGGAUGGUAAUCCUGACAACGCAUGAAGGCUGAUAUGUGAACAAGUCGAAUCUGGUGAGGGCUCGGGUUUGUCAUCAAUGGCAGAAGGUGGUGUCUGUUCGAGCUCGAGUAUGCUUUCUUCAGUGGUGGAGGUUUGUUCAUCAGCAAUGAGGAGCAUGACGCGUCCUUUACAACGAUGAUUAGUGCUCCACUUCUCGUCACAAUUGUAACAUAGUCCUCUUUCUCGUCGGAAAGCGAUCUCGGCCGGAGUUCGUUGCACAAAUGGAGGUUUUGCUUUAAUGGUGGGAUUGGGAUUGAAGGGCGGCGAGGGUUUAGGUGGAAAUGGAUUGCGUGGGGCCAAUACCGCUUUAUCUCGAAGCUUCUAUUCUUGAAGCUUGGCAAGGGCAGUAGCUUGCAGGAGCGAAAUAGGUUGAAGGGCCAUUACCUCACGGCGAACCUCUGGGCAUAAUCCUAAAAUGAAACAGCUUAAAAGAAAUGGGGGAGGAAGGCCUACCACUCGGUUUGCAAGACGUUCGAAUUCCGUUAGGUAGUCAUUAACUGUUCCCUUCUGCGUUAACUUGAAUAGUGCCCCCUUGGGGUCCUCGUAAAACGUUGGUGCGAAGCGCGACUCAAGGGCUUCGAGGAAGCUUUCCCAGGAGGUGAUCAGUCCAUUGCUGAACAUCCACUGAUACCAACUCAGUGCUGUUCCGUCGAGAUACAGGGAGGCGACUGUGACUCGCUCUUCUUCAGGCGUGUUGUGGUAUUGAAAAAGUUGCGUAAGCUUGAAAAUCCAGCCUAAGGGGUCACGGCCAUCGAAACGAGGGAUGUCUAUUUUAACUGAGUUUCGUGGAUGAUUUUGAUGAUUUGCGGUGUUGGUGGCGUUCCGGCCGGAGUCGUGGAGGCGAAGGUGGUCGAGGAUGGCAUCAACUUUGCCGGAAAGGUCUGUGUAUCGGUCUGUAAGUGAGGCCUGGCUAUUGUUAAGACGGGUAAUUGCCUCUUCAAGGCAGUCAGUGGUGGUUUUUCUGGUUCCGUGAUCGGCCAUGGCAAUGGCGGCGCCGGCAGGUCAGACCAGUUGUUAUGGUUCGCGUCAGGGAUGGGGUAGAGGAAGGAGAUGAAAGCGCAGAAUGUUCACAAGCCCUUAUUCGAGAAAGGGGAAAACUCCUUUAUUUCUUGAAGGAUAAUGUUCUUACAUCCUACGAUUAUACAUGUUCAGUAUUUAAAGUGAUUCUACGUAACUGCCUAACAAAUUCAGUUACGUCUAACGGUAUCGGGUUCGAGUAGAACACGUGGUCCAAGCUUUCGAAAAUUAAGCACGUGUGGUGUAAGCUUGCCCUAACUACCCCUGGUUAUGUUUGGGCCUUUAUGGAGAGCCAUGCAGGUUGGCAACGUGAUAAUCCUUCAGGUGAAAUGGUGCGGACCUGACUCGUGCUGGUCUGAGUCGUGACUGGGCCGAGUCACUAACACUUUCCGAUCAUGAAUUUUGGGACUCAUAUUUUGUCACGGAAAGCCACGCCGCCAGGAGUUGAGAGUGCGUUGUUAGUGACAGUGUAUUCAACUGCAUGCAUGUGUUGCAUGUACUGCAGAUAGGAAUACUAAGAAACAAAGUGCAUAGGAUUGGGUCCAUUCGGUGCUUGCUUUAUGUAGAAAACGUAUAAGAUCCUUCCUUUCAAGUUUCCACGACUGCCAUUAAUGUUUGUAAACAUUGAAUGCUUGGUUGUUCCGGUUGGUACGUAACUCAAUUUUGAAUUUUCAGAAAACUGGGGUGUCUAUGGUCAAGUCUUUUUCUAGAAAUGACAAACAGGCAAAGGGUGGGGUCAAUCUUAUUAGGCUCAAGUUUAACUUUAAUAGAACUAUUAUGAAUAAUAUUUUUUUUGAAAGUAUUUAAUGUAAUUAUAUUUAAAAUUAGAAUAUAAUUAAAACUUCAUAAGCUGGAACAAUUAUAAAAUAAAUUUUUAGUACCUAGAAGUUUAUUACUCGAAAAUUUAAAAUUUUAGAAUGUAAAAGUUAAAAUUUUAACCUUGUUUUUAUCAUAAAUAAUACCAGAAUAAGAUUAAAAAAACAAGAUUAAAAAGUAAACGAAUUUCUAAGGAUGCAAAAUGUGAUUUUGGGAUGCAUGAACUGGAUUCGAAAGUGACUCUUUAGUCAAAAGUUUUGGGCUAUCUAAUACAUAAAUUAUAAUAAAAAAAUAAUAACACUCUAUUAUAUGUUAUCUAAAGAAGUUUAAUUACUAUUUUUUAGCUUCAAUGUAAUCUUCUUAUUUUUAAAAGGCGUAAUUUAGUUUUUUAAUUUAUUUAUUGAGUUUAAUUUAGUCUAUUUAUUUUUAAAGGUUUCAAUUAAUUACUUUAUUUUUAAAAAAGUAGAUUCACUUCUGAUCCCAUUUAAAAUUAAGACUGGUUUCAUUUUUUGGAAAUGCUGGAAGCUGGCGGAAAGAAAAAGGAACCAAAUUAAACGUGUUUUUAAAAAAAUAAAGGAUAUGAAUAAACUUUUAUAAAAAAAUAGAGGAAUCAACUUAAAUUUAAAUAAAACUCUCCACUCCACCAUUGGAACUUGUAAUAGCAGGCCAUUAAGAGCUGAUACAAUAUUGAUAUUGAAAGACAUUACUGCGAUAUAUAUAAUCUCGUAUUCUUUAAACUAAAAGCUAUUAAUUAGCAUCUUAGGCUAGAUUGCCAUACUGGGCCUUAUAGUCUCGCCAGAGCUGAUCAACUGGCUUUCCCAGUAACUGAACGAAGAACUGAUCACUAUAACCAGUCCUCAUCAACUGGUUAAGUUGAGCCACAAACCCACUUUUGAGAGAAUCACAAUAAUCCAAAAAAUGAGCAGUAAUAUCAUAACCCUCAUCCCAUCUCUGUCCUUGCCCUGGUUUUCUCCAAUGACUGGCUGCAUAGUUUGCCUUCAGCCUCACAAAAUCUGCAAUACCUCCAAUUAAUCCACCAGGAGCCUCACCAUUCCCAUACCACUGCCAAACGUAGCAAACUUGAUGAAACAGCACCCCUGUGAUCUCUCUUUUCACAUCCCCACCACUAUACCCAUUAACAUAUCUUGCACUCACGUGAAUCUCGUUGUUCAUAGUGUAUGCAAUACCCUCCAUGUCAUCCACGACUAAGCUCACCUUCUGCACAUUUUUUCUGUCAGAAGGGUUUUUUUGCUGAAAGAUCCUCCAUACGAAUUGGGUGGCCAACUCAAGUGUUCGGUUUGCGUAUUCAGCUCCUAUUUUGUCACGGAAUCUCACACCACCGGGGGUUGUCAGUGCAUUGUUUAUUACUGUGAACUUAUAUCCCUGUGUUUCCUGCUUUGUAGCAUCAAAGCUUACUUUUAGAAUAUCUACGAUUUCAUCAAUGGGAAUUCUGCUAUAAUGUUCCACAGCAUAUUCCCAUUCUGCUACUGUUUUUUCAAACAAGUGGGAACCUAUGACUUCCAAAGCCAGUGGAAGGCCAGAAGCAUAAGCUACCACACGAUUCAAGACGUGCUCAUAACUUGGAUCAAUUUUUUCUCUUCUGAAAGCAUUCCAAGUAAGCAAUUGAAGAGCAGCAUUGUCAUUCAAAACCUUCACCUCAUAAGUUCUUUCAAUGCCAUGAUAUUUUAGCAGAUGUUUGUCCCGAGUGGUAAUGAUGACUCUGCUACCGGGACCAAACCAAUCAGGUCUUCCAACAAUAGCCUUUAAUUGCUCGUGCCUGUCUGCAUCGUCUAAAAUCAAGAGAACCUUCUUUCUUCGGAGCCUAUGUUGAAUCAUUGAAGCUCCUUCUUGCCAACUUGUUAAGUUGAUGUCCUUCUCACCAAGUAAUUUUAAAAGAAGGAUGCUUUGAAGGUGUUUUAACCCAUGUUUAUUUGAUUCUUCUCUCACAUUUUGAAGAAAACAUGAUUCGUCAAAAUGGAGAGCAAUCAAAUUAUAAACAGCUAGAGAAAGGGUUGUUUUUCCUAACCCACGCAUCCCAUGGAUCCCUAUGAUAUGGACAACAUCAUCUGAUCCAACAUCCAAAAGCUUCAUUAAGUCUGUCACUUGUGACUCUAGACCAACUGGAUAAUCCAGAACAUGUAAAGAAGCUCGAUUAAUCUUCCUAGAGACCUCCUCAACAAUGCUCCCAAUAAACUUGUAUUCAUAUGCAUCUCUGUUUCAAACAAACAAAAAAAGUUCUAAUGAAGUCAACCUAAAAGCCUUGCAUCCAUGUCUUGCUAGGUACAUUAAUUGUAAAGGUUAACAAGAGCAUUUCUUUUCUAUUUAAAUUUUACUGGUAAAAUCAAAGACAAGUAAAACCUAAUCCUAUAAAAACCAUAAAGUAAAUUAUAUUAGUAUGAUUGUAUACCCAUCUUUGAAAUGAUGGCCAGACAAGUCAGCUACUUGUUUCAAAGCCAUCCUCCAUUUCUGCAGCUUCUCCAUCUUAGAUUCGAACCUUUUCUGAUGCUUAAUCAUUGCUUCUCCAUAACUACCUUUCUGGUGUCUGAGAUCAGAAGGAUCUACGUUGUAAAAGACCGGUAUAACCAACAGCCCUUCACUCUUGCAGUGAAGGAUGGUUACAAGUUCAUCUAAACAAAAUGAGGAAAAAGCAUAGUUUUGAGAAAGCACAGUAAUAGCAAUCCUGGACUCUUGAAUUGCCUUCGAAAGUGCAGGUGUUAUUUCAUCUCCACCGUGAAGCUUCUCUUCAUCAAAGAAGGUAUGAAUUCCCUUCUCACAGAGAGCCCUGUAUAGAUUGCCAGUGAAACCAUAGCGUGUGUCUUCCCCUCUGAAGCUGAGGAACACAUCAUAGAUGAAUGGAAGGGAACGUGUUGUUGCAGCCAUUAUUAGAAGAAAGAAGUUUAGUAUGAUAAUGGUUGAUAUGGUGGGAGUGUAGAAUCAAACUUGAACAAAUAUGAGAAAGAUAUAUACCAAAUGUUAUAAAAGUCAAGUACGUCAAGCUCUUAUUAAUUGUCUGUUAUAAAAUUCAAUUCAAGCUCUUAUUCUAUGUUAUAAAAGUCAAGUUAAGAUCUUAUAAAGAAAGAUGCUCUCACUUUUUUUCAUUUUAAAUACUACUUUUCAUAAUCAAAUUAUCACAAAUAAACACUAAAAGCAUUUUUAAUAAUUGGUACUGUAUUUCAAAUAAUUAACUGGUGGUACUACUUAUUCUCCCUCCCCAAAAAUAAUUGUUAAUUAGAGAAUGAAAAUAUAUAUUAAAUAAUAAGUAAUCUGAUAAUUUUUAAUCACAGGAGCUUCAAAAUUUGUCUUUUUAUGUAUAUAAAUUUCUCAUUGAAAGAGUUUUAUAAUUACCUUGAUAAUUUUACUGAAAUUAAAACACCCACACAUAAGAUGUUUUACUUUAAGUCAGAUGUAUUUGUUCGAAAAGUAAUAGAAGUUAAUUUUGUAUAAUAAAAAAUGUUAACCAAUAAUUUAGGACAUUGAUUAAAAAAUAAAAAUAAAAAUUUUGAAAAAUCUCACAUAUGAUAUACUUUCUUUUUGUAAUUUUUAAUGCAACUUAUUAAUUUGAUAACGCAACUUCAAUUUUGGUGGGUCAAAUAUGAUUUUACAUAUUUGAAUUUUAUCUAUACUUCUCAAUUUAUAAUCAAUUUUUUAAUUAAAUUUAAAGGCUGAUACACUGAAUAAGUGAUUUGGCACAGUAAAAUGAGGAAGAAGCAUAGUUUUGAGAAAGCACAGUAAUAGCAAUCCUGGACUCUCGAAUUUCCUUCAAAAGUGCAGGUGUUAUUUAUUUCGUCUACUCUCAGAAGCUCCUGAUACAGUGUAGAUUUCCCUGUCAUCAAGAGCUUUGUGGAGAUUGCCAGUGAAACCAUAGCGUGUGUCUAAACCUCUAAAGCUGAGGAACACAUCAUAGAUGGAUGCAAGGGAACGUUUCGUUGCAGCCAUUAUUAGAAGAAACAAGUUUAGUAUGAUAAUGGUUAAUUGAUAUGGUAGGAAUGUAGAAUCAAACUUGAACAAAUAUGAAAAAGAUAGUAUAGAAAAUGUAAAGUGGGGCAAACCAAGCAUUAUUUGACGCGGUCAUACAAAUGUUUAUUAUUAGGCAGAGUAACAAUGACAUAUGGGGCCAAACAAUAACUAGUAACGCGGACACAUCGUACCAAAGUCGAUAGCCUUGUGCAAAAUAUGUGGCUUUUUUUCUUUUGUUUUCUCUCUCUGUCAAAUAAGUCAAAAUCUUAUGUUGUUUAAUUUUAUUAAGGUCUCAGGUUUUGCUGGAUGAUGAGAAGAGGAUGGUUAAAAUUAAAGAUAAGAUUUCUAUAUUAAUUAUUAAUAAAUUUAAUUAAUAUUUCAUAUUAAUGUCAUCAGUAAAGAAUAUCUUUACUAUAUCUUCUACCUACAAGCUAUGAGACAAGUAGUAAAAAAAUUACAUUUUAUAAUUAAAUCAUUACAAUCUAAGUAUUUUUUUUGUAGAAGUAUAAAAUUAUUUUUAGUAUUUGCUACUGCAUGUAUUUAAAAUAAUUAACUGGUGGUACUAAAUUGUAAUUUCUCCCCGUCCCCCAUUAAAAUUGUUAGACGUAAAAAGUUAGUCGAUUUCACAAAUUCUGUGAUCUGAGAUUAAUGAGCAAGAGCACAUUCUUUCAACUCCAAGUUGAAGGCUAUAUUCGGAAAUUUAGCUCUGAAAAAGGAAAAAAGGAAACCAAAUUCAAAAAUUAUGAUUCAUUUAACUUUCCAUAGGAUGAGAAUUAGAUGUUUGUUCCAAAGCCAAGAACAUGAGCUGAAUGGGUUGCCAAUAAAAAAAUAACGCAUUCCCCCUCUGAAUGUGAGAUAUGGCAUUCAAAGACUAGUUACUUUGGUCUCCUGGCCUCCUUGUCAAGAUAAGAUGUUUUCAAACUCAACACUAAUAGAAGCUCCUAUGGGAAUCCGUCCUGAUCCUUCGGGGUAGGGUGACAUUCACUACUAUAAAAUGAUGAUUCAACAUCGCCUCAGCUACAUGGGUUCGCCUCAUCUACAUCGGUUGUCGAAAAACCGUUGUAGUAAAACAUACGGUGACAUUUUUAAAAUUAAAACUAACUAUGUUAAGGUGUUAAUGGCGGUUUUUUAUAAAAUCGCCUUUUAUGUGUAUGUUACAAAGACAGUUUUAUAAAAACCGUCUUUGUUCAUAAAUACACUAUUAUGGUUUUUUAAUCACCCAUCUUUGAAGUCACGUGAUUUUAAUUUCAAUUCUAUUUUCACUUUCGAAGCUGAAGACUACGCCAUUUUCUGGUGACAUACGCAUUUUCUGGUCACCGAAUUCAACAAUGUCAUCGACGCACUGCCGCCGGGGACGACCAACGACCUGCACGAGAUCACGAAGCGAAUGGUGGCAGGAGGCUUCGGGAAGGAGUGCUCGCACGUGUACAGAAGUUGCCAGAGAGAGUUCUUGGAAGAAAGUGUGUCGAGAUUAGGGUUACAGAAGCUCAGCAUUGAGGAGGUUCAUAAGAUGACAUGGCAGGACCUCGAAGAGAAGAUUAAGAAAUGGAUUAAGGCCUCCAACAUCGCUCUCAAGAUCUUCUUCCCCAGCGAGCGCCGUUUCUGUGACCGUGUCUUCUUCGGAUUCGCCUCCGCCUCAGACUUCUCCUUCAAGGAGUUUUGUCGCUGGAAAGGCUGUUCCGAAUCCUCGACGUGUUUGAGACGCUGCGUGACCUAUUUCUGGAGUUUGAGGCUCUGUUUUCUGAUCAGUUUAGUGUGUCGCUCAGGAAUGAAGCGAUUACGAUUUGGAAGAGGUUGGGGGAAGAGAUUAGGAGAAUUUUUAUGGAGCUGGAGAAUUUGAUUCCCGGGAUCCGGCAAAGAUUGCAGUUCCUGGUAGCGGACUUCAUCCGAUCACUCGCUAUGUGAUAAACUACCUCCGUGCCACAUGUCAGUCACGGCAGAGCUUGGAACAGUUUUUUGAAGACUAUGGCAGGAAAUAGUACCCAAAGCUUGAUGAUAGGGUUCCUUCCUCUUCUUCUCUGUCAGUGCACUAUCAAAGAAGCUCCUGGAAUAAGGUAUUAGGGAUUCUGAAGUUCGAUAGUAAUGGGUCAAUGCCCCCUAUUAGCUUGGCAAAGUCAACGAAGGAGAAACUCAAGUCGUUUAACACGGUUUUUGAGGAGAUAUGCAGGGAACAGUCUUCAUGGUUUGUCUUUGAUGAGCAGCUUAGGGAAGAAAUAAGAAUUUCGCUUGAGAAAAUCUUGCUUCCUGCGUAUGGAAACUUUGUUGCAAGGUUUUAGAGUGUUUCAGAGCUUGGAAAGCAUGCUGAUAAGUAUAUAUAUUGAGUACGGAACGGAGGAAAUUCAAGCAAGACUCAAUGGUUUGUUUCAGUGAAGCAGUGGAUCAACUGGUAGCCGAAAGUGAAGGUGAAGCUGCUACUAGUUGUUCUUGUGUAUUUGUAGUGUAAUUAAAUUAAAAUACAAUGUUUUGAUUAUCACAAAAUUGUAGUCUUGUAGUCGUGUACUAUAAAUACUACUGUAUGUUAUUCUUCUUAGCAUCAUUGUGGAGGAUUGAAAAAGGAUUUUAAAGUAAGAGCUAGAGUUACAAAAUUAACCUUUAUGUUGUAACAUUUGAGGUGGUUCUUAUUGGUUUGUAUUUCAUAGAAUACAUUAGAAUAUAUGAUAAGAUAUUCUAUGAAAUACAUACAAUUCUAUCAUGACUCAUGUGUUUGAAACUUAAUAAUGGCUACCAACAUUGGAUUUUCAUAUGGUGGUGUAAACUAAGCCGAUCAUUCCAAUAUUUGUUUAUCAGUUCAAUUAAAAAAAAUAAAUUACAUUUUAAUUUCUUAUAAUUUGACUUAAAAUACUUUAUUCUGUGUUACCUGAACCAUAUAGAAUUUGAUAUUUUAUCAUCUUAUGUUUUGUUUUAAUUUAUUAUCACAUUGAUAAUUUAGUACAUUUUAUCUAUUUUCUAAAGAUUAAUAUAUUUUACUCUCUCCAUUUUCAGUUCAAAAAAUAGUAUAUAUGUAAAAAGAAAAAAAAAACAAGUUGAGCCACUAAUAAUGGAGAUUAAUGUAAAAUAUAUUUGCUUUAAAUUGUUGUUUUAAGUUGAGCAAAUAUUUUUAAGAAAUACUAGUAAUUUUUUAAACAGAAACUGUAACAUAAAUGGCCUAAAUAUACUCUUUGACCAUUAGGCUUGAAAUGGUAGCAGUUACUAAGAUGCGUUUUGUUUUAUUAGUAAUAUUGGUGUUGGAAUUGAAGAAAUAAAGAUAUUUUUUAGAUGCAAGAAGGAGGAAACUGAAAACAAAGCAAGUAGUACUACUGUGGUGUGGUGUGGUGUUAUUUUGUUUCGUUGUCUGCUAAUAAUUGUAAGCAUCAGUAAUGGGCAGUGGGUGGCAGCACAUGGCCACCGUGCUCCACCAAUCACCAAUCCAACUUCGCUUUCUUAAAUCAUAUCGACAUAAGGACAAUUUCGUAAUAUUUUUAUUGUGGAAAGUGAAAACUAUGAAUCUAGAUUAUAUAACUAUAAAUAAAUGUUUUAAGAUUAAAAGUUAGUCCGUGGUUAUAUACAUGACCACUUAAUAAAGCUUCAUCAAGUGCUUUUUUUAAAAUAAAAUAAAAAUAACCAUUCAAAUAUAAUUUAAUAGUGUAGGUUCAAAAUAUUCUGCGUGAUUUCUAUUUGGAAAUGGUUGGUUGUCUUUUCUGGUAUGUGUGGCUAUACAAACAUUCUUGCUGAACUGUUUGUCAUCUUUCAUGAUUUCAAUGUACCUUGGAACUCUACUUAUUGGCAUCAUAAAAUUGUAGCAUACAUUAAUGUUUCAAGAAAGAUAGAGUCUAAUUUCAACAGUUUUUGAAUAAAUUUACACCAAUUAAUUUUGAAACAUGAAGAAUACUAAACUAAAACUGAGAGAAUAAUUAUGGGUUGAAGUUUGAACAAAUGAAAUGGGCGGCUGAGAUCAUUCACAUCAAUGCAUGUGAUAAAAGUAAAAUACAACAAACAUUAAUUGGAAGACUUAUUAAUUUGUUGGUUUAAAUUUUCAUAGUCUUAACAAAUUCCUCAUAGCUAAUUUGACCAUCACCAUCCAAAUCUGCAGUUGCAAUCAUCUCCUCCACCUCUCCAGCAGUUGUGUUUUCACCCAGUUUGAUCAGAACUUGCCUCAACUGCAUAGCACGGAAUGAUUUUAACAUAUGAGGGCAUGUGUAUGUCUUUGAGCAUAUAUGCAGUUCUUAGUUAAUACUAAUAAAUUCUAUAUGAAAAAAGGAAGUUAACACUGAUAAAUUAAAAAUGAUCAAGUGAAAACUGAAAAACAAGAUUUUCUUCCUGAUCUUAUUUUAAAAUGUCAAAACCCAAGACAUUUUUUUUAAAACCAAACAGGCAAACAACUAUUAUUCAGAGUAUGCGGAAAGGUUCAAAGUACCAUCCUGAAUGUGCAAGUGACAUUAAUGUUCCUUUUUCUUUUCUUUUUUGGCCUUUUUCUCAGUGACAUAUAUAAAUAUAUAUGUACAUGAUAUCCUAGCCUCUCACCAUACAAUUUCAUUCCAUUUUUAAUAUACAAUUAUGGAAAAGGUUGAAUUAUUAAAAAUAAUACACGGGUAAUUUUAUAUAUUUUUAUUAUUUUUUGUUUUAAAAUUAUUGAUUUUCCUAUUUUAAAUUAUUAAUAUUCUGUAAAUUUCUAGCUUUUUUUCAUUAUUCUUUAUUUAAAAUAUCUAGAUUUGAUCUUUACAAAGAAUACUACACUUCUAGCCUCUUUAAAAAGCGCUUCAACAAUAUCAUAUAUUAAAUAAGGUUACUUUAAUCUAAAUGUAUGAAUAUUAUAUACUUAUUAAAUACUUUUUAAUCUAUUUAUACUAACCUUAAACAUCAAUAAUUUUAGAAGGGCUGUAGCAAUUUAUAAAAUAAAUUUGUGUGUGUGUAAAAAAUAUUAAAAGAACAAUCAAAGGGAAGAUGCACUUUGCAACAUCUUGACACUACUUGCUUUUUGUUCAAGUUUGAAGUAACCUUACUUCGUCAGAAAUCUCAUGAAUACUUUGAUGGGCGAUUGCCGUCAGAAAAAGCAAGUUAAAAUAAAAAAAUGAAUAGAAAGAAUAAAAGUUUAUACAUAUACCUCACUUGCUGAAAUGUAGCCAUUUUGAUCCUUGUCAAACACCUUGAAAGCCUCUCUGUAUUCUUGCUCUUGAUGAGUUCCCUAACCGAGACAGAAAACAGAACUGAACUUAGUAUAUGGCUGUUCUAUAUAUAAUAGUAAUAAUGAGAAGAAUAUUAAUCUUAGCAAAAAAUGCAAUAUUAAUUCCUUACUUGCACUUUGGACUCUUGUUCAACAGGCAGAUCGGCAACAUGUACUCUAGCAGGAUUAAUCUUCUCAGAGACCGACGCAACAAUUCUCUCAAUAAACUUGUACUCAUAUUCAUCUCUGUUAUUAAUAUUUGAACAUUAAAUUGUGAGACAAGUAAAACUUAAUUAAUCCAAUAAAAAUUAAAACAUAAAAAGAUUGGUAUCAUUGGGUACCUGUAUUUGAAAUGAAAGCCAGACAAGUCAGCAACUUGACGCAGAGCCAUCUCCCAAUUCUGGAACUUUUCUGGAAAUCUUAUCUUAUGCUUAGCCAAUGCUUCUCCAUAAGUACCCUUCUGGUGUCUGACAUCAGAAGGAUACACCUUAUAAAACACUGGUAUAAUCAUCAUCCCAUUAUACUGGGCGCAGUGAACAAUGGAUGUAAGUUCAUCUAAGCAAAAUGAGGAAGAAGCAAAGUCUUCAGAGAGCACAGUGAUGGCAAUUCUGGAAUCUUUAAUUGCCUUCAAAAGUGCAGGUGUUAUUUCCUCUCCGCUGUGAAGCUUCUCUUCGUCAAAGAAGGUACGAAUUCCCUUGUCAGAAAGAGCCCUGUAGAGAUUGCUGGUGAAACCAUAGCGUGUGUCUUCCCCUCUGAAGUUGAGGAACACAUCGUAGAUGGAUGCACGGGAACUUGUUGUUGCAGCCAUUAUUAGAAGGAAAAAAGUUUAGAAUGAAACUUGAAGAAAUAUGAAAAUGAAAGUAUCCCAAAUUAAUGCUAAGUGUUAUAAAGAAGAUAACCGCCUUUGUGGAAAAUAGCUAAGAUGCUCUCACUUUUUUUCAUUUUAAAAAAAAAAGUACUUUUUUAUAAUCAAAUUGUUACAAAUAAACUAUAAAAGUAUUUUUAAUAAUUGGCAACUGGUGUACUAGUAAUUCUGCCCCACCCCCUAAAAGAAUCUUUAGAGAAUCAAAAUAUAUAUUAACUAAUAAGUGAUCUGAUAAUUUUUAAACAAGUGUUUUAUACAGAAGAUAGCCGCCUUUAUGGGAAAUAGCUGUGUUAUAAAGAAGAUAGCUGCCUUUGUUGAAAAUCUCUUGCUUUCUCUCAUUCAUUGUUAUAAAAGUCAAGUCAAGCUCUUAUAAAGGAAGAUGUUCUCACUUUUUUUUUUCAUUUUAAAAAAUACUUUUUGUAAUCAAAUUCUUGCAAAUAAACUAUAAAAGUAUUUUUAAUAAUUAACUGGUGGUACAACUAAUUAUGUAGCCCCUAUAAAAAAAUCUUUAGAGAAUCAAAAUAUAUAUUAACUAAUAAGUAAUCUGAUAAUUUUUAAUCACUAGAGCUUCAGAGUUCGUCUUUUAUAAAAAACAGAGUAAAAAUAUAAAAGAGAGAUGAAAAUAGAAAAGAGAUAGAAUCUGAGAAAAAAAAGUCAUGCGUGAAAAUGUUUUACACUAUCAAUUAAUCAUAUGAUAAAUUUGUUGAUUAUUAAACUAACUAGUUUAAAAUAUUAUCUAUUAAGUAAAAAUUUAUUAUGAAUGCACAUAGUUAUUUAAAAAAAUAUAUACUAAAAGGAUGUAGGACACUGAAUUAGGUUAGGACAAUCCAAAGCAUAACUCAGAAUCCAUUCUAAAGACUAUAUUGAGUCUAAUUUCAAAAUUCUAAUUCAUCUAAAUCAACUUUAAACCGAACUCAGAUGAUGAAACUAGUUGGAUAUUGUUCACCCUACAGUGUGAUAACUGUAAGGUUUGGAAGGAAAACAUUCUUCUCCAUUUUGACUAAAUCAGCAUCGAUUAUGCUAUUAGGAAAUGAUAAAUCAUUGAGUAUUACUAAAACUAACAGCUCUAGAUUUGUACACACAUAUAUAUGAUGUCUACCAGGCUUAAAUUACUGAGGUCAUAUUGUCAGAGAAACUGGAAUUCUACAUCUCAUAAAAUCUAAAAACAACCAGCUAUGUGUUCAUCCAAGAUAAUCCUUAUGAUGAUAAUGAAUAAGACAUUCACUUGAAGUAUAUUUGAUUCUAGAGAGGCAUAGAACAAAACACAUCUAUUUUUUAUUUACAAGCAAGCACAAAUCUAUUGAUAUGCUCAAACUCAGUGAAUUAGCAUUCCACUUUCUGAAGCUGUAAGCAGCCAAUAUAGUAGUAUGAUUAAACCUAAGAAACACUGUUACAAAUUUAAGAAGUUUAAGUCUUUCUUCUUCCUGCUCAAACUAUUUCUUCAUUGGAAGUUGAAUGCACCUGACCCUGCACCUUGCAAUAGGAAACCCCUAGAAGACCUAUUCAAAGCAAAAAGGAAUCAAUCUAAACUAAGAGGAAAAAUAAACCAUGGAAAUCUCAUCAAACAUUCUCACCAAAUCUCAUUUGCAUGGAGUCCUGCUGUAUCUGUAUAAAAAUGUUGAAUCGCAGUUCUUUCAUUCCUUCAAUCCAUUAUCGCGACUUUUAGCAAUGCAAAAAUCUUUUAGUUGAAGAGAGCAGUCACUAGUUUCCAGCAAUGGAAACCACUGCAGCAGGAGCAACUAGCAAUAGUUUGUAUGGGGAUUUUGAACCUUACAGAAGAUGGCAUACAGAGGAAGGACAACAGACUCUUGAGGAGUUUUCUGCAUUGCUCAUCAGUUUAUUGUCUCACCUCCACUAUCCAUUUUUUCAAGAUAUAAUCAUCAUCAUAUGAUCCCUACUUAGCAGCAUCUUCCUAAUCAAUUAUGUUGUUUACUAAAUUCCAGUUAAUCAGUUUCAAAUUACUACUAAAAAGAGCACAUGUUAUGACGCCAAAACGAGGUCGGUUCAAAUAAACCAUCUUACAAUAUAUGGCCGAGACAAUUUUAUAAAUAUGAGGAGUUUAACAAAGAAGGUUAUAUAAAAACUGCCUUAGAAUAUAUGGCGGUUGGCAUCGCUGUGCUUCGGCACGGCUGCGGGGUUUGAGGUCUGGCACAGUUGCUUCUUGCAAUGCUGUUAGUGUUCGUGAAGGACCCUUUCCCGCACGUGCAAGCCUAGGAACUGGAAGGGCUUGCUGGUUUCUGCGAGCCUGGCAGAGAGUCAAGUGACAUCGUUUUCCUGUUGGCAAAACCCUCGUCUCUCGCUAGUACCCUGGGAACCAAGGUUUUUUAUUUUUCUUCUCUUAUUUUAAAACCCUUUCUAUAUAGCUCCAUAACUUCAUUUUUUAUAUAUGGAGUGGUGGCUGCCGAAGGUAAGUUUUCAUCUUCUUUGAACUUCAUCAUUGCUAUUGCCUUCUAAAUUUCUGCAUUAUCAUUUUAAUUUGUGCAAAAGAAAAUGUUCACACCCUUGUUUAUUUUCUCUGGAUUGCUUCACAGAAGGAGAGCAGAGAGCACAACCAAGUGUUCAUCUUUGACUCACCAUGAAGCUCAUCAGGUUUUUCUCUCUUUGUUGAUUUAUCUGUGAAUUUUCUUCUGUUGUGUUUUUUUAAUUAGCAUCUCAUUCAGUGCAUUACAAGGUGAUGCAAGUAUAAAUCUGAUUUAGAAUCAUUCGAUAAGCAUGUGAAAGGCCUGCAUUUUGUGCUUAUGAACAGGGAAAGGAUAUUCUACUUGCUUUGUUGGAAAAUCCCAUUCUAGUAUCAGCCUCAAACUGUUUGAAGGCUAACUCAGAGAGGAAGUUCUCAGUAUCUGAUGUGUCUAGUCCAGAGAGAUCAAAAUGGGUUUAUAUAUUCCAGAGAGAAUAUGCUACCAUUGACCCCGCCCUUGUUGAUGUAAUUUCUUAACUUUUUGCAAUGUCAUUAAGCUAAUAUGUAUUACUUCAAAUGUAAUCAUUUCCCUUUGACUUCAGUGAUGAUGUGUAAGAGAUAAUUUUUGUAAAAUUGUAAAUUUAAUUUUAAACUAGUUCAUAGUUCAUUAUUGUAUGCAACUAUUAAUCUUGUGCAUGCAGACAAUUCAUACUUAAUUGGACUAAGUCACAUCAUAUGUGGAAUUUCUUUUUCCGGUCCAUUUUUUCAAAUGUUCCUUCUACUAGGUGUUCAAAUAUUGGUUUUAUUAUUUUUAAUUUAACACUGCAGGAUAUCAGUUGCCGCAGAGAUACUGAUGCAAUUUUCCUUUCAGGGGACUUCUAGAAUACAUAUACAUUGGAAGGGAGCCGCAAAGAUAGUUCUAGGAGCAUGUACUCAAUAUCUUGAUUCAUAUGGUCAAUUGCUAUCCAUUGAAGAAGAGAAAAAGGUUAGGGAUGGCAGUUUCAAGUCCAGAGAGCUUGCUGAUGGAAUGAAAUUCAUUUAAUUGAACAUUGGAGAUGUUAUUUUAUUUUUCUUUUGGUUUAGAACAAUCAGAAAUUAAGGAAAAAUACAUGGAACAAGGUUUCCAACAAAUUUCUUUUUUCUUAUCAAUGUGAUUAUAGUGUCAUUUGAAGUUACUCUGAUAGAGAACCAAAUCAAGAAAUGGGGAAAAAAUCAAAGCACAUUGUUCCUUUAUUGGAAGCCUAACUCUCACCUUGCAAUGCUAGAAUUGGAACAAGCAACUCCCCAGAAGACCCAUUUAAACAAAAAAGGAAUUAUUCUCAACCAAGAGGAAAAUUAAACCAUGAAAAUCCCAUUACGGUUUCUCACCAGAAUCUCAUUUGCAUGCAGUACGAUAUUUGUAUGAAAAAUGUUUAGUCACAAUUCUUUCAUUCAUUCAAUCCAUUAUCAUAACUUUUUGCAAUACAAAUAUUUCUAGUUUAGCCGUUUAAGAGGGCAUUCACCAGUUUCCUGCAAUGGAAAAUGAUGCUGGAGCAACUAGCAAUAGUUUGUAGGGGAUUUUGAACCUUACCGCAAAUGGCUUACAAAGGAAGGACAACAGACUCUUGAAGAGUUUUCUGACUUUGCCUUCUCUGUUUCUUAGCAUUUUCACCUCAACAUUUAUUUUUAGAUAGUGGUGUCUGUUGGACUUUGACUUGUUUAUUUCUUAGGCUGCUUCCUAUCCUUAUUAAUGGCACGUUUUUAAUCUCCAUUCAUAAAUUUAAAAACAACAAGCUAUCAGCCAUCCUAAGACAAUCCUUAUCAAGAAAAUGAAGAAGACAUUAUCUAGCUUAAAUUACACUAGUUAUUCCUUAGAUUUGGUGAAAUUUUCACAACCUUUUCAUACUUUUUUUACCCCUACACUAACCCCUCAAUUAUUUCAAAAAUAUUAUUCCAGUACCUCUUAUACAUUAUACUAACCUUCCUUAAUUGUUUGAAGAACAUUACACUGUGUUCACUUAUAAAGAAGGUAGUUGUAAAUGUUAAAAAAAAUAAUACUUAAUAAUUUAGAGAGGCAUAUAGAAGUAGAAGUAAACACAAAUCUAUUUAUAUGCCCAACUCAAACUCAAUAAGAAUCCUAAGUAGACAUUCUUCUUACAAGUAUAAAAAAUUUAACUUUCUCAACUGCUAUGAACAGUUGAUAUAGAUCAUAUAGUAGUAUGCUAGCUAAAUCCUAAGAAGUACACUUUCAAAAUUUAACUAAUUGAAGUUUUUCUCCUUCCUGAUCAAAUUAUUUAGCAUAACCAGCGGGAAUCUGAUCAUCGUAGCAAUUAGAAGAGAAAAAGUUAAACAUCCAAAAACAAAUGUAUAUACAUACAAAAAUAAAUAUAAAAAUAAAUUACAAAUAUAUUAUUAUAUUGUUUUAUAGUAGAACUUGUAAGGGAAAAUCUAAAAGUAAACAAAAAGUAUAUUAAAGAUUUCUUUUUACUUUAUUUUAAUUACAAUGUAUAUAUAAGAUAAAUACCUGUUGGUUUAUGUAAUUUUGAAGUGUAACUAUAAAAAUAUAUACAAAGAUAAAACUUGAAAGGUUAUAUAUAGAAAAUGCAUAAAGUAGUGAAAGAUGAAUAUAAAUGAGUCAAAAGUACAUGAUGAAGAUAGGGUGAAGAGCAGUUGGGUUAAGUCAAUUUUUUUCAACUGAAACCAAAAUAAUAAAAUAAAAAACAAAAAAAAAUAAGAAAAAAGCUAUGGAAAACUUGCGUGUUCCCAAAGCUAUGGUUUGUAGUAAGGAGCGGCUUUCUGAUGCAGAGCUGCUGAGAUAUGGAUCAUCAAAUCGAAUAUCUUCCUCCAUACUGCCUUCUUCUCUGAAUAUAUGGAUUCCAGUUGCUUUAAUGAGUGAGCUCUCUAAGUCUAACACACCUUCUUUUCUUUUUUGCUUUUCAUAGUCUAACACACUUUGAUAUCUAACCUCCACAUGGUUCCAUUCCUUUUCCCUAGCCACUUCUAAAGCAAACAGAGAUCUAGAGGGACGAAAGAUAUGUGUAUGAUCCAAUUUCAACAUACUGUAACUUUCAUAAUCGAGCAGAUAGUUUAGAAUUUUUCCAUCGAUGAACACCUUGGGUAUAACGAAAGUUUGCAGGUCAUCCGACACAGGUGCAAUAAGAAGACAAAGAAGUUUGGAAGGGAAUUUAUUACGAAACCAGAAAGAACUUGAAUGUCCACUGCUUUGCUGAUCCAACCACUCUGGUAUUCUUGUUCCUGGAAACACAAACUCGGUUCCUCCAGCCUCAUACAGUUCCUGUUAGUCAUAAUUCAUACAGAAUUCAUAAGUUUAACAACAUUAAGUGCACUAUACAUCAUCAAAUCCUGUACAGUAACAAAAAAGACAAUACCUGAUUUAAAAACAUGCUUUUACUCGAGGAAGUCAAGGAUGCACAGUUUCUUGCAUGGAAAUAACAUAAGUUUGGUGGAAGCCCUCUAAUUUCCUGAAGAUGCUCGCAAUCACUCACCAUAAGUGCUCUUAAAAAUUUCAAUUCUUUGAAGAAUUCAGGAAGGAUUGUGAAAUUAUUCCCCGAUAGAUCUAAAUAUCCUACACGAGCAAACCUCUUGGAACCUGUUAAAAAAAAUCAUCACAGAGAUUGCAAUUCAUGGCAGAAAACGAAAGUUUCAUUGAAGACGGUAUUGAGCCCACUUUUUCUUCACCUCCUUCCGAUUCUACCCAUUGCCACCUGUUACAAUUUUUAAUUUGGAAUCGAAACAGAUUGGGCAUCAUGGCUAAGCUACAUCGUAACUGAACAAUUCCACAGCUCCACAGGGAUAACAGUUGGAGUCCAAUAAGAUUUUGAAAUGAAAAUGGCAAUUCUUUUAUGGGAAGGCCAUCCAAUUCAAGGCUCUUUAUGUUUUCCAUCUCUCCUAAUAUUUCUGGAAAAUAAUCAAGACUGGAACAGUGAGAAAGUUCAAGUGUUUCAAGAGAGGUCAAGUUGAGAGGCGGAAAACUCGUAAGCUUCCUGCAACCAUAAGCACUCAACUUUUUUAAGUUUUUUCAGAAAACCAAUGGAGUCAUCAACUGCAACUAAACUCUCACACCCUUCAAAUGAAAGUUCCCUCAAAUUUGCGAGAUCAGAUACAUCAGGUAUCUUUGUUAAAAAUUCGCACUGGUCAAAAUUUAAAACUGUUAGAUGUCCCAACUUCUGCAAGGAAAAAAAAAAGAAAUAAGAAACAAAUGAAUAAAUUUAAUUCACAGAAUGAGAAAAAUAUAAUCUUUAAACUUGCCUUCGAUGGGCCAUGGAACUCAAAUGACUUAAUGGAACUGUUAGGUAACUUGCAUAUAACAAGGUUCAUCGGAUCAAAGUUCGAUGGUAAACAAUUUGAAGGAUAUCUGUGCCAUUCCAGUACUCUCAAACCUUCUGGAAAAUAACUGGGACCUUUGGAAAAUUUGCCAUUUCUAAUAAUAAGUAUUUUAAGGUUUUCCAUCUUCAUGAAGGCGUUUUCAUUCCAUUCCACUGUUUCUUCUUUGUCAGAUAUUGAGAAAUCCACACAUAUGAUUUCAAUUUUACUAGUUCCCUGUUAAUGCAAAAAGGCAUGAAUCAACCACAAUACAACUUGUGUGAAAUAUCAAUUGACUCGCUUAGAAAAAUUUACAAAUUAUCAAGAAAAAGUUAACUAUGAUGUAAAUAUGAGAUAGACAAAAAAAUUCAACUAUUCAUGAGCUCACUCACCGUGUUGUGUUUUAAAACUUGAAUUAUAUCUUUUGGUGACAAUAAUCUCUUGCACUUCCCGGGCUCUUCUGGUGAUCUCUGCCGCUCAAUUUCUCUACCCAUGUCCUGAAUCAGGUCGUGCAUUUCCACAGUAUCACACCAGCUACGCUUUAUGAGAGAUUUUUCAACCAACACCCCAAUAUGAUGCUUCUUGCAGUUACCAUAAAGAGCACGGAGUAUAUCAUCAACCUCUGUCCAUUUAUACCCUUUGAAGCAACACGCAAUGUCAAGAAAAACAUUCUUUUGUUCUUCCUCCAAAGCAUCAAAGCUUACAUUUAGAAUCUUUAGGAUUUCAUGACUGGGAAUUCUUUUAUAAUAUUCCACAGCAGAUUCCCAUUCUGCUACUGUUUUAUCAAACAAGUUAGAACCUAUGAUUUCCAACGCCAAUGGAAGGCCAGAAGCAUAAGCUACUACACCAUUCAAGACCUCCUCAUAACUUGGAUGAAUUUUCUCUCUUUUAAAAGCUUUCCAUGUAAGCAAUUGAAGUGCAUCAUUCUGAUUCAAAACCUUCACCUCAUAAGUUCUUUCAACCUCAUGAUAUUUUAGCAGAUGUUUGUCCCGAGUGGUAAUGAUGACUCUGCUACCCGGACCAAACCAAUCAGGUCUUUCAACAAUAGCCUUCCUUUAAUUGCUCGUGUUUGUCAACAUCGUCUAAAAUCAAGAGAACCUUCUUUCUCUGGAGCCUAUGUUGUAUCGUUGAAGCUCCUUCUUGCCAACUUGUUAAGGUGAUGUCCUUCUCACCAAGUAAUUUUGAAGGAAGGAUGCUUUGAAGGUGUUUUAACCCAUGUUUAUUUGAUUCUUCUCUCACGUUUUGAAGAAAACAGGAUUCAUCAAAAUGGAGAGCAAUCAAAUUAUAAACUUCCAGAGCAAGUGUUGUUUUUCCUAACCCGCCCAUUCCAUGGAUCCCUAUGAUUUGGACAAGAUCAUCGGAUCCAACAUCCAAAAGCUUCAUUACCUCUGUCACUUGUGAUUCUAGACCAACUGGAUAAUCCGCAAUAUGUAAAGAAGUACGAUUAAUCUUCCUAGAGACCUCCUCAACAAUACUCCCAAUAAACUUGUAUUCAUAUGCAUCUCUGUUUCAAACAAACAAAAAAAGUUCUGAUGAAGUCAGCCUAAAAUCCUUGCAUCCAUGUCUCGAUAUGUACAAUAAUUGUCAAGGUUAACAAGAACAUUUCUUUUCUAUUUGAAUUUUACUAGUUAAAUCAAUAGACAAGUAAAACCUAAUCCAAUAAAAACCAUAAAGUAAAAUAUAUUAGUAUGGUUUUAUACCCAUCUUCGAAAUGAUAGCCAGACAAGUCAGCUACUUGUUUCAAAGCCAUCCUCCAUUUCUGCAGCUUCUCCUUCUUAGCUUUGAACCUCUUCUGAUGCUUAGCCAUUGCUUCUCCAUAACUACCUUUCUGGUGUCUGACAUCAGAAGGAUCUACCUUAUAAAAGACCGGUAUAACCAACAGCCCUUCACUCUUGCAGUGGAGGAUGGUUACAAGUUCAUCUAAACAAAACGAGGAAGAAGCAUAGUUUUGAGAAAGCACAGUAAUAGCAAUCCUGGACUCUUGAAUUGCCUUGGAAAGUGCAGGUGUUAUUUCGUCUCCUCUGGGAAGCUCCUGAUCAUCAAUGGAAGUGUAGAUUCCCCUGUCAUCAAGAGCUUUGUAGAGAUUGCCAGUGAAACCAUGGCGUGUGUCUAAACCUCUGAAGCUGAGGAACACAUCAUAGAUGGAUGCAAGGGAACGUGUUUUUGCAGCCAUUAUUAGAAGAAAAAAGUUUAGUAUGAUAAUGGUUGAUAUGGUGGGAGUGUAGAAUCAAACUUGAACAAAUAUGAAAAAGAUAGCAUACAAAAUGUUUAUUAUUACGCAGAGUAACACGACAUAUGGUAACAAUGACAUCCUACCAAAGGAGAUAGCCUUGUGGAAAAUGUCUCGCUUUUUAUUUUUGUUUUCUCUCUGUCUGUCAAAUAAGUCAAAAUCGUACUAAAUAUUAAUUUCUCCCCGUCCCCCAUUAAAAUUGUCAGACAUAAAAAAUUAGCAAAUUUCACAAAUUCUGUGAGCUGAGAUUAAUGUGCAAGAACACAUUCUUUCAACUCCAAGUUGAAGGCAAUUUUGUGAACUUUAGCUCUCAAGAAGGGAACCGAUUCAAAAUUAUGAUUCAUUUAACUUUCCAUAGGAUGAGAAUUAGGCGUUUGUUCCAAAGGACGUUUAGAUAAAUAAAACUAAGCUGGUGGAAAUUAAUUUAAAACUGAAUUACAAUGUUAGUUUUCAAACAAUAUUUUCAGAAUUCAAUUUUUACGUACUAUUAUCAUAAAAAAAUAUCCUACCAAUUCAUAAAAAAUAAAGGUAGACGAGACCUGUGAAGUAGUUAUUAUUUCAAUAAUUAAUUAUAUACAUAGUUAAUUAUUAUUAUUAUUAUUAUUAUUAUUAUUAAUUAUAGAAAUUAUUUUUAUAUUAAAAUAUGUUGAAAAAUACUACUUUAAUCUAUUUUAUUUAAAUAGUUUAAAAAAAACUUUUUGCAUUGAAAAUUUUACUAUAAGUAUAAAGUUAUUGAUUCCUAAUAACAAAAAAGGUUAUUAAUUCCAUAAAAAAAGCAUAAAGUUAUUAAUCAACUGCUGGUACAUCCUUCCCAAGAAAAAUUAGAAAUUUUUAAUCAUAAGUAUGAAUUUUUUUAAUUAAUUUGAUUUUUUUAAUUAUAAACUUCAAAGGUUUCUUGCAUUAGAAUUGCGUUUGACUCAUUUUUGUAUUUUAAAGAUUGCCUUAAAAUUUAAAUUUAGAAAUAAGAGGUUUAAAUAUAACUAAAAAAUUUAAUAUUUUUUUAAAAUUUUCAUUAACUUAAAAUAGAUCAUCUAAAAUGAAGAAAUUAAGGAAAUUUGGUGGAUAUUGCGAAUAGAACCUUGGUGGAUGUUACACGGACAUAUAUAUAUCGUACGAAUCACGAUAAUAUUACGCGGACAUACCGUUCAAACUUGUGGAAAAUAUGUCUGUGUUUUUUAGAAUGCUACCGACACAUUAACAACCUAAGCAGCACAUUAACAAAAUUUAACUAAUUCUAGUUCCCAACCUCAUUUUUGGCUUAUUAAUCCUUCAAAAAGAUAGAAGUUCACAACUCACAGGAUUAUUGGAACAAAAUUUUGUAAAAUGAAAUCUCAAAUUCUUAAGUUGUAGUUAAAAGGAUCGAUCAAAAGUAUGCUAAGAAAAGAAAAAAGAAUAUAGGAUGGGGAAGGAAUUUAAAACACAGGUUUCCUUCAUUUACAGUUUACACAUGCACCUCAUUCUCACCAUGCAAUACAAUGAUAAGGAAUUAAGGAAGUUUCGUGGAUAUUGCCAAUAGAACCUUGGUGGAUGACUACGAAAAGAAUUCCAUUAAGAAUAAAGAAAUUAAGGAAGUUUCGUGGGUAUUGCCAAUAGAACCUUGCCAAUAGAAAUUAAGGAAAUUAACCCGAAAUGAUUGCAAAUAGCUUACAAAGGAUGGACAAGCGACUCUUGAGAUUAAGUCAAUUUAUUAUCGGAAGAUUCCAAAACAAAAAGAUUGUAUGUAGUGGACAAUAUCAUCGUGCUAGUUUUUAAUUUAAUAUUAAAUUUAAAUUUUAAGAUAAAAUUAGAAUUUAAUCUAAGAAUAAUGAGUUUAUUAUACUAAUUAUUAUUAAAUCAUCUACAAAUGUUCAUUUAUUGGUGUAAGGGGACAUAAUGGUCCCAUAUAUAUCACCUAACAAUUUCUCCAAAUGUCACACCUUUAUUUUUAAGGACACAGAACCUAAUAAUAUCGUAAUUAAUCGCUCCAAACUUGAUAAGUAAUAAGAGAAAAUAUUCCUUACAUCAAUUAAAAAUGGAAAGAAAAUCAUAAUAUAAAUUAAGAUGAAAUUUAUUCUAAUGGUAUACAUAUGGUAAUCUUUUCUGAUCUUAAACUCUUACAGGUUUCAAAAAGGAGCAGCUUAAGAUUCAAACUUACAACUGGGAGAUCCUAACAAUUUAGGGAGAAAGGCCUAUGCAUUAAUAACUGUUAAAUAAAUGUGCUUUUCAUAAUGAAAAAUAAAGUGAAUUAUUUAGCAGUUAUUCAUGCUUAAUUAUUAGAAAGUGAUGUUUUUUUUUUUUAAAUUAUGAUCUGCAAAUACAAAAACGGGAAGAAUUAAAAGCAAAAAGAUACACAAAUUACGAAGACGAGUUGAGGAUUUAAAAAACUGAAAAGUGCAGGUGCUAUUUUGUCUCCUCUCGGAAGCUCCUCAUCAUCAAUGAAAGUGUAGAUUCCCCUGUCAUCAAGAGCUUUGUAGACAUAGCCAGUAAAAUCUUGACGGGUGUCUUUCCCUUUGAAGCUGAGGAACACAUCGUAGAUGGAUGCACAGGAACGUGUUGUUGCAGCCAUUGUUAGAAGAAAAAAGUUUUGUAUGAUAAUGGUUGAUACGUUGGGAGUGUAGAAUCAAACUUGAACAAAUAUGAAAAAGAUAGUAUACCAAAUGCUAAGUGGGGUGUAACGAAUGGAAUGUCACGUGGGGAGAAGGUUAACAAUACUGCUGAGUCAUCAAGUGAGAGAGGAUUGCAUAACAAACUUGCUGAUUUUGAGGAAUUGGGACGUGGGAAGAGAGAGAAGAAACCAAGUUGGAAAAUAACGGAAUCCCACUAGUGUAUAAGGGAAAGUAGUGGGAGUGUGAUAGGCAUGAUGUAUGAUGAAUGAAAAUUCUCUUCCUCUCUGAUUAUUCUCUCUUCCAUUCUGAAUUUCUUUUGCAUCUUGUACUUUUGCUCUUAUUUUCACACUGAAAACUAAGAGUUGUAUCCAUCAAUAAAAGUACUUCGUCCCUUUCCAAUUGAAUUACUGUUUCAUUAAUUACUUAGCAUUACAUUGGUGCUUUCAUCUCACCAUGGCAGACAACACCCGUAUGAAGGAGGUUUAUGCAGAAUUGAAGAAAAACGCUGAUGCGAUUACUCGUGUUAGUGACGAUCUUCAGAACCAUAUUGAACGGUUGGAAGCUACAAAUCACGCUCAGAUGGAGAAGAUUGAAGUGAUGCAGUCGACGAAUGAUUCUCAAUUCUCACAACUGAAUGCAGUAAUGUCACAGGUGCUGCAGCGUCUACAAAACAUUCCGAUGUCUUCCCAUGGUGCAUCGAACUCACAGAAAGAGCAGCAGAGAAGUUCGUUUCAGGUGAGAUCUGUCAAACUUGAUUUUCCUCGCUUUGAUGGAAAAAAUGUGAUGGAUUGGAUAUUCAAGGCUGAACAAUUUUUCGAUUACUAUGCAACACCAGAUGCUGAUAGAUUGAUUAUUGCUUCAGUACAUUUAGAUCAGGAUGUUGUCCCUUGGUAUCAAAUGCUUCAAAAAACUGAACCAUUCAGUUCAUGGCAAGCAUUUACUAGAGCCUUAGAACUUGAUUUUGGACCAUCUGCUUAUGACUGUCCUCGUGCUACUUUGUUUAAACUGAAUCAAUCUGCAACUGUGAAUGAAUAUUAUAUGCAAUUCACUGCUCUAGUAAAUAGAGUAGAUGGAUUAAGUGCAGAGGCAAUUUUGGAUUGCUUUGUUAGUGGGUUGCAGGAAGAAAUCAGCAGGGAUGUGAAAGCAAUGGAACCCCGUACCUUAACCAAGGCAGUUGCAUUGGCCAAAUUAUUUGAAGAAAAAUACACUUCACCACCUAAAACAAAAACAUUCUCAAACCUAGCCAGAAAUUUUACCUCAAACACUUCAGCCACACAGAAAUAUCCACCAACUAACCAAAAAAAUGACAAUCCAAAACCAAAUUUACCACCACUUCUACCUACACCAUCAACCAAACCAUUCAACCUUCGAAACCAAAACAUCAAAAAAAUUUCCCCUGCUGAGAUUCAAUUGAGAAGAGAAAAGAAUCUGUGUUACUUUUGUGAUGAAAAAUUUUCCCCUGCACACAAGUGUCCUAAUAGACAAGUUAUGCUGUUACAACUGGAGGAAACAGAUGAGGAUCAAACUGAUGAACAGGUAAUGGUGACUGAAGAAGCUAACAUGGAUGAUGAUACUCAUCAUUUGUCCUUAAAUGCUAUGAGAGGAUCAAAUGGUGUGGGCACUAUUCGAUUUACUGGCCAAGUGGGAGGCAUAGCAGUUAAGAUAUUGGUGGAUGGAGGUAGCUCUGACAACUUCAUUCAGCCUAGAGUGGCUCAGGUGCUUAAGUUACCAGUGGAACCAGCUCCUAAUCUUCGAGUUUUAGUGGGAAAUGGACAGAUUCUGAGUGCAGAAGGAAUUGUUCAGCAAUUACCAUUACAUAUUCAAGGCCAAGAAGUGAAAGUGCCAGUGUACUUGUUACAAAUUUCUGGUGCAGAUGUGAUAUUGGGGUCCACAUGGUUAGCAACAUUAGGUCCUCAUGUAGCUGACUAUGCAGCAUUGACCUUGAAAUUCUUCCAAAAUGAUAAAUUCAUUACUUUACAAGGUGAAGGUAAUUCAGAAGCAACACAGGCUCAGCUCCAUCAUUUCAGAAGAUUGCAAAACACAAAGUCAAUUGAAGAGUGCUUUGCAAUACAAUUGAUUCAGAAGGAAGUACCAGAAGACACUUUGAAGGAUUUACCAACAAAUAUUGAUCCUGAAUUGGCCAUCUUACUCCACACUUAUGCUCAAGUGUUUGCAGUACCAGCAUCACUGCCACCUCAGAGGGAACAGGAUCAUGCUAUACCACUGAAACAAGGGUCAGGCCCCGUUAAAGUAAGACCAUACAGAUAUCCUCACACACAAAAGGAUCAGAUUGAAAAGAUGAUACAAGAAAUGUUGGUUCAAGGCAUCAUUCAACCAAGUAACAGUCCAUUUUCCUUACCCAUACUGCUUGUUAAGAAGAAAGAUGGAAGUUGGAGAUUCUGCACAGAUUAUAGAGCUUUGAAUGCAAUCACUGUGAAGGAUAGCUUUCCAAUGCCAACAGUGGAUGAACUGCUAGAUGAACUACAUGGAGCUCAAUAUUUUUCAAAACUGGAUUUGAGGUCAGGAUACCAUCAAAUUCUGGUACAGCCUGAGGAUAGAGAGAAAACUGCUUUUAGAACACAUCAUGGCCAUUAUGAAUGGUUAGUGAUGCCAUUUGGUCUUACUAAUGCACCAGCCACAUUCCAAUGCUUAAUGAACAAAAUAUUUCAGUUUGCUCUCAGAAAAUUUGUUCUUGUGUUUUUUGAUGACAUCUUGAUAUAUAGUGCUUCUUGGAAGGAUCAUCUCAAGCACUUGGAAUCUGUGCUACAGACCUUGAAGCAACAUCAGUUAUUUGCUAGAUUGUCCAAAUGUUCAUUUGGAGAUACAGAAGUUGAUUACUUGGGCCACAAGGUAUCUGGGUUAGGAGUUUCCAUGGAGAAUACAAAGGUACAAGCAGUAUUAGAUUGGCCUACUCCAAAUAAUGUCAAGCAGUUAAGGGGAUUUCUAGGCUUAACAGGCUAUUAUAGAAGAUUUAUUAAAUCUUAUGCCAAUAUUGCUGGACCAUUAACUGAUCUUUUACAAAAAGACAGUUUCUUAUGGAAUAAUGAAGCAGAAGCAGCAUUUGUCAAGCUCAAAAAAGCCAUGACGGAGGCUCCAGUAUUAUCACUACCAGAUUUUUCUCAACCAUUUAUUCUGGAAACUGACGCAUCAGGUAUUGGUGUGGGAGCAGUGUUGGGACAGAAUGGCCACCCAAUUGCUUAUUUUUCAAAAAAAUUGGCACCUAGAAUGCAGAAACAAUCAGCUUAUACCAGGGAGUUGCUAGCUAUUACUGAGGCUCUAUCCAAAUUCAGACACUACUUAUUAGGCAACAAAUUCAUUAUCAGGACUGAUCAAAGAAGUUUGAAAAGUUUGAUGGAUCAGUCUUUACAAACCCCUGAACAACAAGCUUGGUUACACAAAUUCUUAGGGUAUGAUUUCAAGAUUGAAUAUAAGCCUGGGAAAGAUAAUCAAGCAGCUGAUGCUUUAUCAAGAAUGUUUAUGCUAGCAUGGUCAGAACCUCAUUCUAUCUUCUUGGAAGAAUUGAGAGCUAGACUAAUUAGUGAUCCUCAUUUGAAACAGUUGAUGGAGACAUACAAGCAAGGUGCUGAUGCAAGUCAUUAUACAGUUAGGGAAGGCUUACUGUAUUGGAAAGAUAGAGUAGUAAUACCUGCUGAGGAAGAGAUUGUGAACAAAAUACUCCAAGAAUAUCAUAGCUCACCUAUUGGAGGGCAUGCAGGUAUAACUAGAACUCUGGCAAGGCUGAAAGCUCAAUUCUACUGGCCUAAGAUGCAGGAAGAUGUCAAAGCUUAUAUACAGAAAUGCUUGAUUUGUCAACAAGCUAAAUCAAACAAUACACUGCCAGCAGGACUACUCCAACCUUUACCUAUUCCUCAACAAGUUUGGGAAGAUGUAGCCAUGGAUUUCAUCACAGGUUUACCAAAUUCCUUUGGAUUAUCUGUCAUAAUGGUAGUCAUUGAUAGACUCACCAAAUAUGCUCAUUUCAUUCCAUUAAAAGCUGAUUAUAACAGUAAGGUGGUAGCAGAGGCAUUUAUGAGUCACAUAGUCAAAUUACAUGGGAUACCAAGAUCUAUAGUGUCUGAUCGAGAUAGGGUUUUUACCAGUACUUUUUGGCAACAUUUAUUCAAGUUACAAGGUACUACAUUGGCCAUGUCAUCAGCUUAUCAUCCACAGUCAGAUGGACAAUCUGAGGUGCUGAAUAAAUGUUUGGAGAUGUAUCUUAGAUGCUUCACGUAUGAACAUCCUAAAGGUUGGGUAAAGGCAUUACCAUGGGCAGAGUUUUGGUAUAACACUGCAUAUCAUAUGAGCUUAGGCAUGACUCCAUUCAGAGCCUUGUAUGGGAGAGAGCCUCCUACACUGACCAGGCAAGCCUGUUCUAUAGAUGAUCCUGCUGAAGUGAGGGAACAAUUAACUGACAGAGAUGCAUUGUUAGCUAAGCUUAAAAUUAAUUUGACAAGAGCACAACAGGUCAUGAAGAGACAAGCAGACAAGAAGAGGUUGGAUGUGUCAUUCCAAAUAGGAGAUGAGGUACUGGUGAAACUGCAGCCUUAUAGACAGCAUUCUGCUGUCCUGAGAAAGAAUCAAAAGCUGUCCAUGAGAUACUUUGGACCAUUUAAGGUGCUGGCCAAGAUUGGUGAUGUUGCUUAUAAGUUGGAGUUGCCUUCUGCUGCACGAAUUCAUCCUGUUUUUCAUGUGUCCCAGCUGAAGCCAUUCAAUGGGACUGCUCAAGAUCCUUACCUGCCAUUGCCUUUGACAGUCACAGAAAUGGGACCAGUUAUGCAGCCUGUGAAAAUACUAGCAAGUCGAAUUAUCAUCAGAGGGCACAAUCAGAUUGAGCAGAUACUAGUGCAGUGGGAGAAUGGCUUGCAAGAUGAAGCUACUUGGGAGGAUAUUGAAGAUAUCAAGGCAAGCUAUCCUACCUUCAACCUUGAGGACAAGGUUGUUUUUAAAGGGGAAGGCAAUGUAACGAAUGGAAUGUCACGUGGGGAGAAGGUUAACAAUACUGCUGAGUCAUCAAGUGAGAGAGGAUUGCAUAACAAACUUGCUGAUUUUGAGGAAUUGGGACGUGGGAAGAGAGAGAAGAAACCAAGUUGGAAAAUAACGGAAUCCCACUAGUGUAUAAGGGAAAGUAGUGGGAGUGUGAUAGGCAUGAUGUAUGAUGAAUGAAAAUUCUCUUCCUCUCUGAUUAUUCUCUCUUCCAUUCUGAAUUUCUUUUGCAUCUUGUACUUUUGCUCUUAUUUUCACACUGAAAACUAAGAGUUGUAUCCAUCAAUAAAAGUACUUCGUCCCUUUCCAAUUGAAUUACUGUUUCAUUAAUUACUUAGCAUUACAUGGGGCUCCAAGCAUUAUUUCACGCGCUCAUGUAAAUGUUUAUUAUUACACGAAGUAACAGUGAAAUAUGGUGCCAAACAGUUAUAACUACUAAGGCGGACACAUGGUACCAAAGACACGUUCUAGCGUGCGCAACCCAAACUUGUUUUGCAUUGCACAGUGCGAAACUUAAUUUUUCCCCCUCUAUUCCAGUUUUGCCCCUUUUUAUAUUUUUUAUCAUUCCUUACUUUUCUCUGUUUUGCCGAGGAGAGUGUCACUGCAAGCAUAACUGGUACGACGGAGCCAUCAGAACCACCAUAUAGCAUUUUGUCUUUUUCUCUUCCUUCCUCCCCGCUCUUUCUCCUUUCCUUCUCUUUCUUACCUUCUCCGUUGAUGAUGGAUUUCAGAUCUUCAAUUGCUUCUUGCACCACCAUCAACCACGACUUUCGCAUCUACAGUUGUGGCCUUUUCUCUUCUGCAAGAGAUUUUCCAAUGCGAUUUCAACCCAAUACACUGAUUUGUAAUCUGUUCUCGAUUCUAUGUUUAGAUUUAUGUGGAGGUGGUAGUGUAUGGUGGCACUGUAACUGAUAGACUUGGGCAAGUCUACUGGUUUCGAGGACCAGCUCCUCCAGUAAAGAGAAGAAAAGAAGAGGUAAGGCACAAAUGUAAAGCUGAAUAAUUCUCAUUGAUCUUGCUUGUUAUUGAGUACAUGGUAUUUAUAAUGGAUGAAAAUAACUAAAUUGAGCUACUGUGGGCCCCCUAAGGAAUUUUAUCCUAACAAAAUUGGUGCACUGCUCCCCCUAAGGUCAACAGCUCCAAUCCUUCAAGCAAGAUUCACGAAGCAUUCCUUGGCUGGCUCUGAUUCUUCUAAACGUAAUCACCAAGGUAAUUGGGCUUAGUAAUUUUCCUCUUGGUUCCCUUGGGCUGAUCUGCUAUGGUUCCUGCUAUGCUUACCCCUGCUUCCAUGUUCGCCUCUUGGUUCUCUAUUGCUGUUUCUUCUUCCUUUUCUACCCCUGCCUCUGCAGAGUCACCUUGUCCUCAAGGUGAAAUUCCUGACAGAGUUGGGACCAAUCCUCCCAUGAUGUCUCGUCAGGAGAUAACCCGCUCCACUGCACCAACACCUCCCAGGGAGCAUUCGAAGUAGAAUCCUUUCUACAAGAGUUCAAGAUGGCCAUGGGUGAGAUUAGUGGUUGGUCGCCAUCAAAGUUGUCCGGCAAUUCAAUUGCUUCCACGUCAUCCGGUGGUCCCUUAAACUGCUUCAAGGAAGAAAUAUGAAAUACAGGAUGAAUGCGCAUCCCUUCCGGAAAUUGCAACCGAUAUGCUACUGGUUCGAUCCUCUCUAGUAUCUGAAAUGGACCAUAAAAGCGUUUGGAUAGUUUGCCGGGGUACGCUGAGCUCCCUUGGCCGAUGUCUGCCGGUGUGGUCAGAAUUUGACCAGGGCCCACUCACCACAAUUGAAAGUCACCUCUCUGCGUUUCUUGCCAUUGUACCUCUUCAUUCGCUCUUGUGCUUUCAAAAGUUUCUUUCAAAUUGCUUGAAUGGUGGCAUCUCGUUCGACCAAGCUGGAAUCAACAGCAUCGAGCUUGGAAGAGCCUGUAAUAUACUUCGGGAAAGUAAACGGUUUCCGGCCAAAGGUUAUCUCAAAUGGAGUAGACCCUGAACUAGCAUUCCAAGAAGAAUUGUGCGAACAUUCUACCCACGGCAGAAGCUUGCCCCACCGACCCGGCCGACGAUGAACAAAGGCCCUCAGGUAUUGCUCAACCACUCGAUUCAAGACCUCCGUCUGGCCAUCACUCUUAGGGUGAUACGCCGAGCUAAGCCGCAAUUGGGUGCCACUGGCGCGAAACAGGGCCUGCCAAAAAUGGCUAACAAAUAGUGAGUCUCUGUCGGAGACAAGGUUGCGUAACAAAUUCAGUUAUCUUAUUGCAAAACUUUCCUGGUGUCUAAUUCACAAUUCCCUUAAUCUUGAGUUGUGACAGUUAUUUAAUUAAGACUCUUGCAUUUAGAUGUGCAUGUAUAAUGUAUUGAUAAUGAUGGCAAAUGUGAAAGGCUUCUCAUACUGAAUUGCCUUUUAGAAUCUUUUGUGCGAGGGUGGUUUCACCCUAAUAAGAUGAGUUUUAUGGGAUAGGGGUGAUGGUAGUCAAUUUUGGCCUUUUUGUCUUGGAUGCUUUUGAUGAGUUUCCACAAUUUCAUGCAUUGUUUUCAAACUCAGAGUGUUAACUCCUAAAAGCAUCUGAGUUUAAGAGCUUACCUCUCCAAAUUGCGCUCGCUAGUUUCUGUAACCGUUUCUUGGUGGGAUUGGGUCAUGCGGCGGGGAUCAUUCGAAAUCAGUCUAAAUCGUGAACUUGUGGCUGGAUUCACAGCAAAAGAAUGUUGAUUUGUGGCUGGACCCGAACAAUUAGGUCUCAGCUCUCAUGUUUUCUCUCACGUGAUUAGGGCUCAACUUUCUCACAAAACAGAGUCCACCUUCGGCUGUGUUGAAGUUGCUCCUCCCUCACUUUUUCUCUCACAUGUCUCUUCUCCUGUGUUGAAUUUGUGUCUCUCCCUUUGCUGUGUCGAAGUCGCCUCUUCUUUCACACUUCACACCUUCCUCUGCCAUUUGCAACAGGUUAAAGCUUCUUCCUCUGUCACAGCGACCCAUUCAGCUCAUCCACUCAUGUGAGUCUAAUUUUGGUCCAUUAUUUUCACUUUGACUUAUCUGUGAUAAGCUCAUUAUUCACUUUUUGAUCCAUUCAGCACUAAUGUAACUAUAAAUCUGAUACCCUGUGUGGAUGGAAGCUAUCAAUCAACUAUUUCUUAAACGUACUUGUGUGGAUGUUUUAUGCCAAAACAUUUGGUGUGUUUGGUUAAAUUGCUGCAUGUCACUGCCAAAUCUCUUUUUUAAAUUCUGUAAUGAUUAGUCUCUUGAUUUAUUUUUAACCACCAUUGCAUAUUCCUGUAAAAAAAAAAAAAAAAAACUAAAAAACUGCUAUUGCAUAUUGACUUAUAUUUUACCACUCCUUUUAGUUCCAUUCAUUUUUGCUGGGAGGAUAUCUUACUGUAUUUGAAGCAUAAAAGUAUCAACUUUUAGUGAUUUCUUUGUUGUUUUAUUUCAAACAAAAUAUUGGCAAGGUCUUUUGCUGUACCUGGAAAUCAUCUUGGACAACAAAGUCAUGGUUUUCGUUGGCCAUAUGGUCCGGUAAGGAUUUUGUUUUCUUUAGCUUUGAUAUGUUUUUAAUUGGUAUAGUAUGUUCCAAAGGCUAAAAAAAUAUGAGAUCAUUUUGAUUAAGUGUAGAGAGGUCCUAUCAUUGGUCAUUUUUAAUAAGGAAGCUAAGAUAAUAAUAUUGUUCAUAAUUUAGAUAGAGUAUAUCAUUGUCUUUUUCUGGCAUCCAAUCUUUUGAUCAUAUUCUUAGUUGUAUUCAUUGAAAAUAUUUUGAAUGAAAUGAAGCCUACACAUUCUGCACAUGCGUAUAAGUAUCAGGCCACGUGGGUGCAAACUAAGAAUUAUGCCACUAUGGGAUUUACAUCUUGGAUUUUAAUACAUACAGUUCUAUCAUGACUCAUGUGUCUGAAACUUAGUAAUGGCUACCAACAUUGGAUUUUUAUAUGGUGGUGUAAACGAAGCCGAUCAUUUCAAUAUUUGUUUAUCAGUUCAAUUAAAAAAAGAUAAAUUACAUUUUAAUUUCUUAUAAUUUGGCUUAAAAUACUUUAUUCUCUGUUUUGAUAUUUUAUCAUCUUAUAUUUUGUUUUAAUUUAUUAUCGCAUUGAUAAUUUAGUAUAUUUUAUCUAUUUUCUAAAGAUUAAUUAUUAGUAAGGUUGGUGUUGGAAGUGAAGAAAUAAAGAUAUUUUUUAGAUGCAAGAAGGAGGAAACUGAAAACGAAGCAAGUAGUACUACUGUGGUGUGGUGUUAUUUUGUUUGGUUGUUUGAUAAUAAUUGUAAGCAUCAGUAAUGGGCAGUGGGUGGCAGCACAUGGCCGCCGUGCUCCACCAAUCACCAAUCCAACUUCGCUUUCUUAAAUCAUAUCGACAUAAGGACAAUUUCGUAAUAUUUUUAUUGUGGAAAGUGAAAACUAUGAAUCUAGCCAGAUUAUGUAACUAUAAAUAAAUGUUUUAAGAUUAAAAGUUAGUCCGUGGUUACAUGACCACUUAAUAAAGUCAUCAAGUGCUUUUUUUAAAAUAAAAAAAUAACCAUUCAAAUAUAAUUUAAUAGUGUAGAUUCAAAAUAUUUUGCGUGAUUUCUAUUUGGAAAUGGUUGGUUGUCUUUCCUGGUUUGUGUGGCUAUACAAACAUUCAUGCUGAACUGUUUGUCAUCUUUCAUGAUCUCAAUGUACCUUGGAACUCAACUUAUUGGCAUCAUAAAAUUGUAGCAUACAUUAAUGUUUCAAGAAAUUAAAGAUAGAGUCUAAUUUCCACAGUUCUUGAAUAAAUUUACUCCAAUUAAUUUUGAAACAUGAAGAAUACUAAACUAAAACUGAAAGAAUAAUUACGGGUUGAAGUUUGAACAAAUGAAAUGGGCGGCUGAGAUCAUUCACAUCAAUGCAUGUGAUAAAAGUAAAAUACAACAAACAUUAAUUGGAAGACUUAUUAAUUUGUUGGUUUAAAUUUUCAUAGUCUUAACAAAUUCAUCAUAGCUAAUUUGACCAUCACCAUCGAAAUCUGCAGUUGCAAUCAUCUCCUCCACCUCUCCAACAGUUGUGUUUUGACCCAGUUUGAUCAGAACUUGCCUCAACUGCAUAGCACGGAAGGAUUUUAAUAUGUGAGGGCAUGUGUACGUAUGUCUUUGAGCAUAUAUGCAGUUCUUAGUUAAUACUAAUAAAUUCUAUAGAAAAAAAGAAGUUAACACUGAUAAAUUAAAAAUGAUCGAGUGAAAACUGAAAAACAAGAUUUUCUUCCUGAUCUUAUUUUAAAAUGUCAAAACCCAAUGCAUUGUUUUUAAAACCAAACAGGCAAACAACUAUUAUUCAAAGUAUGCCGACAUGUGACAUAUAUAAAUAUGUACAUGAUAUCCUAGCCUCUCACCAUACAACUUCAUUCCAUUUUUAAUAUACAAUUAUGGAAAAGGUUUUAUUAUUAAAAAUAAUACACGGGAAAUUUUAUAUAAUUUUCAUUACUUUUUGUUUUAAAAUUAUUGAUUUUUUUAUUUUAAAUUAUUAAUAUUCUUUAUAUUUCUACCUUUUUUCAUUAUUCUUUAUUUAAAAUAUCUAGAUUUGAUCUUUACAAAAGAAUACUACACUUCUAACCUAUUUAAAAAGCGCUUUAACAAUAUCAUAUAUUAAAUAAGGUUACUUUAAUCUAAAUAUAUGAAUAUUAUAUACUUAUUAAUAAAUACUUUUUAAUCUAUUUACAGUAACCUUAAACAUCAAUAAUUUUAGAAGGGCUGUAGCAAUUUAUAAAAUAAAUUUAAAUUUGUAAUUCCAUGAAAAGGACAAUAUAUAUAUGUGUGUGAAUUGAAAAAAAGGUUAUACAAAUAUUUUUCAUGAAUUAUUCUGUUAUUGAUUCAGUCAUGAAUGAAAAAAAAGGGAAGAUGCACUUUGCAACAUCUUGACCCUACUUGCUUUUUGUUCAAGUUUGAAGUAACCUUACUUUGUCAGAAAUCUCAUGAAUACUUUGAUUGUUGAUUGCAGUCAGAGAAACCAAGUUAAAAUUUAAAAAAAAAAAAAUUGAAUAGAAAGAAUAAAAGUUUAUACAUAUACCUCACUUGCUGAAAUGUAGCCAUUUUGAUCCUUGUCAAACACCUUGAAAGCCUCUCUGUAUUCUUGCUCUUGAUGGGUAUCCUAACCGAGACAGAAAACAGAACUGAACUUAGUAUAUGGCUAUUGUAUAUAUAAUUGUAAUAAUGAGAAGGAUAUUAAUCUUAGCAAAAAAUGCAAUAUUAAUUCCUUACUUGCACUUUGGACUCUUGUUCAACAGGCAGAUCGGCAACAUGUAUUCUAGCAGGAUUAAUCUUCUCAGAGACCGACGCAACAAUUCUCUCAAUAAACUUGUACUCAUAUUCAUCUCUAUUAUUAAUAUUUGAACAUUAAAUUGUGAGACAAGUAAAACUUAAUUAAUCCAAUAAAAAUUAAAACAUAAAAAGAUUGGUAUCAUUGGGUACCUGUAUUUGAAAUGAAAGCCAGACAAGUCAGCAACUUGACGCAGAGCCAUCUCCCAAUUCUGGAACUUUUCUGGAAAUCUUAUCUUAUGCUUAGCCAAUGCUUCUCCAUAAGUACCCUUCUGGUGUCUGACAUCAGAAGGAUACACCUUAUAAAACACUGGUAUAAUCAUCAUCCCAUUAUACUGGGCGCAGUGAACAAUGGAUGUAAGUUCAUCUAAGCAAAAUGAGGAAGAAGCAAAGUCUUCAGAGAGCACAGUGAUGGCAAUUCUGGAAUCUUUAAUUGCCUUCAAAAGUGCAGGUGUUAUUUCCUCUCCGCUGUGAAGCUUCUCUUCGUCAAAGAAGGUACGAAUUCCCUUGUCAGAAAGAGCCCUGUAGAGAUUGCCGGUGAAACCAUAGCGUGUGUCUUCCCCUCUGAAGUUGAGGAACACAUCGUAGAUGGAUGCACGUGAACGUGUUGUUGCAGCCAUUAUUAGAUGAAAAAAGUUUAGAAUGAAACUUGAAGAAAUAUGAAAAUGAAAGUAUCCCAAAUGAUAAGUGUUAUAAAGAAGAUAGCCGCCUUUGUGGAAAAUAUCUUGCUUUUUCUCAUUCAUUGUUAUAAAAGUCAAGUCAAGCUCUUAUAAGGCAAGAUGCUCUCACUUUUUUUUUCAUUUUAAAAAAUACUUUUUAUACUCAAAUUUUGGCAAAUAAACUAUAAAAGUAUUUUAAAUGAUUAAUUGGUGGUACAACUAUUUCUGUCGCCCCUAUAAAAUAAUCUUUAGAGAAUCAAAAUAUAUAUAUAUAUAUAUAUAUAUAUAUUAACUAAUAAGUAAUCUGAUAAUUUUUAAUCAAAAUAGCUUCAGAAUUCGUUUUUUAUCAAAAACAGAGUCAAAAUAUAAAAGAGAGAUGAAAAUAGAAAAGAGAUAGAAUCUCAGAAAAAAAAAAGUUAUGCGUGAAAAUGUUUUACACGGUCAAUCAGCUUCACCUUUUCAACUUAUGUAUGAUAAAUUUGUUGAUUAUUAAACUAAUUAUUUUUAAAUAUUAUCUAUUAAGUAAAAAAUUGUCCUGAAUGCACAUAGUUAUUUAAAAAUCUAUAUAUAUGUAUAUUAAAAGGAUGUAGGACACUGAAUUAGGUUAGGACAAUCCAAAGCAUAACUCAGAAUCCAUUCUAAAGACUAUAUUAAUUUAGUCUAAUUUCAAAAUUCUAAUUCGUCUAAAUCAACUUUAAACUGAAUUCAGAUAAUGAAACUAGUUGGAUAUUGUUCGCCCUACAGUGUGAUAACUAUAAGGUUUGGAAGGAAAACAUUCUUCAUUUUGACUAAAUCAGCAUCGCUUAUGCUAUUAGGAAAUGAUAAAUCACUGAGUAUUACUGAAACUAACAGCUCUAGAUUUGUACACACAUAUAUAUAUGAUGUCUACCAGGCUUAAAUUACUGAGGUCAUAUUGUCAGAGAAACUGGAAUUCCACAUCUCAUAAAAUCUAAAAACAACCAGCUAUGUGUUCAUCCAAGACAAUCCUUAUGAUGAUAAUGAAUAAGACAUUCACUUGAAGUAUAUUUGAUUCUAGAGAGGCGUAGAACAAAACACAUCUAUUUUUUAUUUAUAAGCAAACACAAAUCUACUGAUAUGCUCAAACUCAGAGUGACUUAGCAUCCUAGGUAGGCAUUCUGCUAUAGAAAAGUAUAGCAAAUUCCACUUUCUGAAGUGCAGUAAGCAGCCAAUAUAGUAGUAUGAUUAAACCUAAGCAACACUGUUACAAAUUUAACUAGUCUAAGUCUUUCUUCUUCCUCCUCAAACUAUUUCUUCAUUGGAAGUUGAAUGCACCUGACCUUCACCUUGCAAUAGGGAACCCCUAGAAAACCUAUUCAAAGCAAAAAGGAAUCAAUAUUCUAAACUAAGAGGAAAAAUAAACCAUGGAAAUCCCAUUAAACAUUCUCACCAAAAUCUCAUUUGCAUGGAGUCCUGCUGUAUUUGUAUAAAAAUGUUGAAUCACAGUUCUUUCAUUCCUUCAAUCCAUUAUCGCGACUUUUAGCAGUGCAAAAGUCUUUUAGUUCAAGAGAGCAGUCACUAGUUUCCAGCAAUGGAAACCACUGCAGCAGGAGCAACUAGCAAUAGUUUGUAUGGGGAUUUUGAACCUUACAGCAAAUGGCUUACAAAGGUAGGACAACAGACUCUUGAAGAGUUUUCUGACUUUGCCUUCUCUGUUUCUUAGCAUUUUCACCUCAACAUUUAUUUUUAGAUAGUGGUGUCUCUUGGACUUUGCCUUCUCUGUUCCUUAGCAUUUUCACCUCAACAUUCUUAGCAUUUUUAUUAAAAACAGAGUCAAAAUAUAAAAGAGAGAUGAAAAUAGAAAAAAGAUAGAAUCUCAGAAAAAAAAAAAAAAAAAAGUUAUGCGUGAAAAUGUUUUACACGGUCAAUCAGCUUCACCUUUUCACCUUAUGUAUGAUAAAUUUAAAUUGGCUUGUUUAUUUCUUAGGCUACUUCCUAUCCUUAUUAAUGCCACGUUUUUAAUUUCCAUUCAUAAAUUUAAAAACAACAAGCUAUCAGCCAUCCUAGGACAAUAUCACUUUACUUCCUAAACUUAAUACUUAUUGUCAUUUAGUCCACAAAGCUAUGCUUAUAUUUUUAUUUAAGUCACACAACAUUUAGAAUUUUGGACUAAAAUAAGUGACAUCUUGCAUUUUCAAAGAUUUUUUUUUCUAACCUAAAAAAAUAAUUUUUUAAUCAUUUUAUUACUUUGAGGAAUAAAUUUGGCCGUGUCUCCCAAUUUCAUGAAAAAAUUAUCAUUUACUUAUCUAUUUCACAUGUUUUUAUAUCUAACUAAUAUGAUAUUAAUAGUCAUUUUUAAACUUAGAUGUUUUUAUGUGAAUACUUAGUUUAGUUGACUUCUUGCACUUAAAUUUACAACUUUUUAGUUAUUUAAUUAAAAAAAUAUUAUUCCAUUAUUAUGUCUGAAAUUAAACUAAAUUAGAAAUAUAUUUAAAACACCAUAUUAUACAAUAAGUUUUAUGUUCUGUUUAUAAGAUUGAAAUAUAUUGUCAAUAAACAUACAAAAAUUAAUUAAUUAAUUAAUUAGCAUUCAAAUUUUUUUAUUAAAAUUAAAAUUUGCAAAUGUAUAUACUUUUAGAUCACAUAUACUAAUAUUAGUAGUAUAAAAGAAAUUGUAAUAUAUUAUUAAAUAUACAAAUAAAGUACAAAUAUAUUAUUAUAUUGUUUUAUAGUAGAACUUGUAAGGAAAAAUCUAAAAGUAAACAAAAAGUAUAUUAAAGAAUUUUUUUACUUUCUUUUAAUUACAAUGUAUUUAUAAGAUAAAUAUCUGUUGGUUUAUGUAGUUUUGAAAUCUGGCUAUAAAAAUAUAUAGAAAGAUAAAACUUGAAAGGUUAUAUAUAGAAAAUGCAUAAAGUCAUGAAAGAUGAAUAUAAAUGAGUCAAAAGUACAUUAUGAAGAUAGGGCGAACACCAGUUGGAUUAAGUCGUUUUUUGAAGACUGAAACCAAAAUAAUAAAAUAAAAAAACAUGAAAAAAAUAAGAAAAAAGCAAUGGAAAACUUGCGUGUCCCCAAAGCUAUGGUUUGUAGCAAGGAGG
This 84204-nucleotide long non-coding RNA is filed under the name Glycine max (soybean). RNAcentral's name for it is "long non-coding RNA (GMAX_LNC003780)". The record is from RNAcentral. Lineage: Eukaryota; Viridiplantae; Streptophyta; Magnoliopsida; Fabales; Fabaceae.